UCCGGGCUGGAUAACCCCACUGACUAUGCUGUCAAACCGAAUCUUGUGUGAUCCACCGGCAACUGUAACAUUGAAGUCGCACGAGGCGGGGAGGGUCACCUCAACGGCACCCCCAUCAUGGUUCACGUACGACUUCACGCCCAGAGGCAAGAGAGCCCGCAGGAAGUUGUUUUUCGCCAACAGGUCGUAUGCUGUGUCGGAGGUGGCCGCUUGGAGGAUGGAAGCCAUGAAUACGAUGAGGAGCAGAUGCUGGAUGGCCAUGGCUAGCUAACUGUUGCUGCUUACAAAUUGUAUCAAGGAAUAUGAGGAACUGAGAAGUAAGUGUAGACUGAGGCCCUGGCCACGUAUUAUAUAUGCUGCCCAACGAAAUCAAAGUCAAUCGUGCUUUAAUUGCAUUUAUUUUGUUCCUGAUUGUCACUCCAUCAACCGCCUCAUCAAAUAUGCUAAAAAUAUCAUCCCAUUAAAUCAUAUUUAUUUCUGGCCUAGAACAUUCUAUAGUUAAUGGUUAUGCCAAAACGUUCCUCAAAUCUUCAUAAUCAAUACGUACCAUAAAAUGAGACUGAAAUUUCAGAGCAACAUUCAUUUACGUACUUCACAGCCGACAUAUGAAACAUAUGCAAAAACCUAAAAAUGAAUCAAGGGGAAACAUCAACAUCCCAACAGUUUGAUCCUUGAUGUUGGCUUGGGUACCAAUGAGGCUUCUCUUCUCUUCAAAUAAUGUUGUGCAGUGCAACUAAAACAUAAAACACCCGCAAGAAAGAAAUAUUUCAUUUAGAUAUACUUGAGUUUUACAUGAGUAUGCGGUGCAAUAGAAUGAUUAUCUCCCAUUGUGCAGAUCAUCUCUUUCAGGAUGCCUACUCAGGCCAGCACAGACUCAUACAUAACAUCUCCGUCAAAGUUUCCACACUGUUAUAGCAUGAACUCCCAGACCGUGAGAGAGGCUCAGUACCCAUAUCCAAAAUGAAGAGUGCGGAGGAGCAGGUGCCUACCCCUCCACCUUCCACUUCUCUUAAAAUUUUCCUGUGCAAUGCAACUAAACUAAAAAACAACUCCAAGCAAUAUAUUCAAUUUAGAUCUUGUUACGUCUCCAACGUAUUUAUAUUUUUUUAUUGUUCCAUGCUAUUAUAAUUGUUGGGUCAUGAGCCAAAAGCAAGCCAUCGAACAUGCCAGUGUUGGAUUGGAUGAGAUUGUCGACCGCCUGAAGGAGGUUCUCAUCGUGAUCCUUGAAGAGCCGGUCCAGACCUACGGUGAAAUACGCUCGUUGAAGCGCGUACACGCCGCACCUUUCCUCGGACGGCUUGUCCAUCGCCUCCGCUCACGGCCGAUCACGCCACCGCGUCCCGUGAUGGUGUCGCGGCAACUCCAGGACCACUUAAUCUUAUACCAAUUGUGAGCAACUCACCUGAUCAAGAGGAAUUGCUAGGGAUUAGAAUUCGAAAUUGCGGAAAUUGGUUCGUUAGCUAGCCGUCCGUCCACCCUCACAGCUACACUACACCGCCUGUUGCCAUCAUCCAAUUCCCAGCCAGGAGAUAGGAGAGAGUUAUAAUUCCUACUAGCUUAGCCCGCGCGGCGACACGCCGCGCCCAUCGAUCAGUCACGACUAUGUAGACUAUGGUCCAAGCAAUAGAGUAAUAAGUAGUUAUGAUGAAAUUUGUUGCAUGACUUGAGGCUUUUUAGCAAAUUGUUUUGUUCACAACAAUUUAUAGACACAAAUAUCUAUCUUUCAUGGAAACUUUUAGUUUAUUUUGUACAUAGCAAGGGUCUGUUCACCAAGUUGAAACAAAUAGACAACAUGACCAAAAGUAAGGAACUUCGAAACAGUGCUUUCGUAGCUAAAAUUUAAUAAUUUUUCACAUUUCAUAACAUAAAUACUUAACUAAAACUUACAUCUGAUCCGAAGUACAACCAUUGAGACAGUAAAAAAACAACUAUUUUGAUCAUCACAAAAAAAUUAAUGUGCAUUUCAUGGAAAAAGUUUAGAGACAAAAUAAUUUAGCCAAGAGAAAAACUAUUUCAGAUCACAAAAGGCGCUCCAAAGAGUAAUUGUGUAUAUUAUUCAAAAGAACACUUUGUUACCUUCAGAGGCUUUAAUUAGCCCCAUUGCAUCUUGUGGAAUCAUGCAGUGAUACAAAUUCUUACCAUAAACAACAAAAUUAAGCAGCUCUUAAUAUAGAAACAACCAUAUCACUCUGAAUCAAGGGAGCAUGAUGCGAUGAACUGAUGAUGGGGAAUCUAUGGUGGCAUAUACCCAGGAAACAGUGUUCAUGGAAACUUUGUUAAACAACCCCUUGCUCAGCUUAAAAGUAUUCCUUCCUGGGUCUCCACUGAAACAAAGCUAUAUUUAUACACCCACAUGUGAGAACAAUAUGAGCCAUUGUUUGAUAUAAAACCAACAAUGCUUGAACAUACUUGUUUCUCUACCUCACCAUGUGGCGGCCAGAAAAAGCUUUAACAAAUUAAAAACCACUUGCAAAUUGAAGUUGAGAGCCUUCACUUAUUUCUCGAAAUGGAAGGAGGAAGGGGCCUUAAUUUGUCCCAGUAACCCCAUGAAUAUAAUUAGCCAAAUAUGCGGCAUUUCAUCUUAUUACACGGUCAUGCUGAAGGAGGGAACAUCAAUAAAAUUAGGCAUAAGAAAUCCAUCAAAUGAAGAGAGAUGUACUUAGAAAUAAGAAUAACAAACAUUCUCAGAUACUAUGUACCUUAUCCUGCCUCUAAGAAUAUGUCAAGAAGGUGAAUCAUUCACUUUUAUGUUACCGUUGCUGACAACGGACAACUGUGGAUGGAAACAAAAUUCUCGGCAAUGCAUAUAUGAAACUAAGUAACAUGACUUAGAAAAUAUAAUGUAAAAUAUCACAAUAAACUACUACUAAGUAUGUUCAAUAGUAAUACAACCUCAGUUUGUACCCCGGAAAUUUCUAUCACCAAAACAUCUUAGAAAGUUCAGUGCCAGUGAUGUGCCUGCCAUAAAACCGAAUGCCAAUUUUCAGUUAAAAAAUAACCGCGCAAGACCAUAUUCUUCUGCCACCAAGGGUAUAUGAUCGAGUGGGGCCAACUAAAGACAUGCCCCACGAUUCCAUUUUUUAAUGUAUGUUGUUGUAUAAUGAAUGACGGGCUUGUAUGCUUACAUGACUAUUUGGUUUUUGAUGUGAUGAAAAUUGGAGGGAAAGAUGCUGGACGGACUAAUUUGAUCAAUCAGGUGAGUAGAAGUAUUAGAGUUUUGGCCAUCUCAUCCAUUAAAUUUGGAUGGAGGGUAUGCAUCUUAAUAUGAUAAACAUAUAUGCAUACCGUAUAUGGGUUAUAUACAUAUAAAAAUCAGUGCAGCAGGCCUUUUUUCUGAAUCUAAACAUCUUGGUGGCCGAGUUCCAGUGUGAAAAUAUUGGUUUUAGUCCCUGGUCAAAUGGACUGAUGCAUAUUAUGUUUGGUUGUACCACGAAAAAUAAUUUGGUUGCUUUAAGAUAUUCAACCGAGGUAGACGAUGCAAUUUUGGCUGACAUGAAGUUUUACGAUCAUCAAUACAGCAGAAUAUGCAAAAGAUGGGAUAAAGCAAGUCAUAUCUACUCCCUCAGUCCCAUAAUAUAACAGCGUUUUUGACAUGAUGGAGGGAGUAGUUUGUUUAUUUGUUUGAGGAACACUUAUUUGCGGAGAAUAAUGAAGUGUGCUUGCACCGGUAGACAUGAGAUGAACUUGAACAAACGAUCUGCAUUCAUAUAUGCAUUGUACCAGAAAUCAGUGCUGCUCUGACUUGCCUCUGCAUUGCCUCUGAACCAGUGUUGAUCUAUAUCGGAGAUCAGGAAUUUACUCAUCAGGUCACUGCAUCUACUUUAUUGCGAUUAAACCACCAAACUCAAAGAAAUACCAGCAAUUUAUUUAAUAGUCUUAUUUGACUUUUUAUUCAGAACGCAUUGAGCUAUUUCUUUUUCCGAGCUACAUUCUUGUACAUUGGAUUCUCAAGGAGCAUCACUUGCGAGACAUGUCUUCACAUACUACCAUUUCAGAACACCACUCCCUUCACGCACAGGACAUACAUGUUCUACAUCCACCCCUCACACUCCUAAUUUCAAACCGAGUUGGCAGGCUAUUGUAAGGAAGGUAAGCAACCUUCUAGAUGGAAUAUUGGAAUUUACUCUGGCAAGGUAGGUCUUAAACAUAUUAUCAUCUGGCUAUCUACUGUUUGAGCUCCCCAUGCUGCUAACACCAUCAAAUAUUGUUUGCUCCGUACAUCUUCAUAUGCCAAUUUGACCUUUUUUUGGCAGACACAGUAUCUCAGAACAUCUAAAUUGACUCCUUGCAUAGGUCUCUGAAUUGACACAAUCAGAAGGAUAAAACAAUCGCUAGAGCUCUUAUAGGAAGUCACCCAUCAUUUGACUUAGACUAAAGAAGGUGUCUAUCAGAAAAAAAGGAACAAAAAGUAAGUGCGAAGAAACACAUGUAGGGUUGCACAUAAUUUGUAAGAGAUGAUCAAGGCAUAUAGUUGCAGCAAGUAGCAAAUGGCAUGAAUUUAUUCAUGAUGCACUCACGCAUCAAGGGUGUAAAUCUUCUUUAGCUAGGUCCAAAUGCAGAUAGAUACAGUACAGGAAUGAUGUGUGAUAUGUCAUUGUAGGUUUCAGACCUGAUGAAAAGUUUAUUACAGUACAUGAAAAAUAUUCAUGAAACGGUUAUACAGUACAUGAAUGAUGAGAAAUCGGAAAUUUCUGUACAGGAGUGAUGUAUAAUAAAUUGCUGAGAGGAAUAAAGAAGAUGCAGAAUGUCUGAAACUUCUCAAAACCAGAGACAAUUAUACAAAAGCUACCUGACCGAGUAUACGGCUAGGAAUCUGCCUAAUUCAGUGUCUCUUAUAACCCGCCAACGACUACGGCGUAAUCACCAUCACUGCGGCUCAACCAGAAUUCGAUCGAAUAAUGAGGCAAAUGAAGUAGCUAAUAUGGGGUAAAUGCACACUAACUUGGCAGCAAGAACAGAUGGGUCGUAAGCGCCUUCAGUGACCCUACGACCUGCAAAUGGCAGUAUACAGACAGUACGCCUUUACUCCGAAUAACCGAGGAGGAGCUGUCCUUAUGCUCUUUUUUUUGCGGGGGAGCUGUCUUUAUCCUCCACUCAAGCUAGCUAUACUUACAAAGUUAGAGCUAUAUAAAGUUUUGAAGCGUAGCGCUGUGAAUGGAUCACUCGUCCAGCAGCCUCCUGACACAUAAAAUAGGCAGAGCGAGCAUUACAAGGUCCCAUAACUCGGGGUCAGGCUUCUCGAACACGAUGACGCGCACCACCGUGCGCCACGCCGACGCCAGGUAGUAGAGCGCGGGCCUCUUGCACUGGUUGUGCGCCAGGGGCUUCAUGUUGAAUGCGCGCGCCUUGUAGUCGGCGGGCCAGUACCAGUUCAUGAACGUCCGCGCCGGCAUCUGCAUCUCCCGCGCCAGCACGACGCCCUCGGCACCGUCACCACGAACCCCCACGCCACUGACACCAUCCACCAGUUCGCCGCGAUGUAGCAUAUCGACUGGUGCAUCACCCCCGUCGAACAGCCUCCGCAGAGACGCCGGGCGCGAACGCACGUUGGGGAUAAGCGGUCGAGGUGGUGCAGCGAGUCAGCGACACCAGCGGUGCCACCUGGUGGGCGGCGAGGAGGCCUAGGAGGUCACCAUACACGCCUUACUCGUGGAAGCCCGAGUGUCGGCACUCCCAGCUCCGCCAUGCCCCAUGCACGAUGUAGUAGGGGACGGCGAGGAGGUUGUUCGGGAGGAAGACCGUGUUGUCGACUUGUCGUCACCCAUGACGAACCAGCGUACACCUGGGAGACUGAGGCGGAAGGUCUCGGAGAUGACGGUCGACGUGUGAGAUGCAUGCGGAUGGCAGAGCGAUGACCGUGCGUGUAGGAGAAACCGGAGGUAUCCGGUAAGAUCUUGAUGUAUAUGCACUCCUUCCGCUUCUCCAACAGGCGCGCCAACGCCGUGAAGCCGAACACUACAGCGUAAUCGUCGUUGUCAACACCGUGGCCGUGGCAGGUUGCGGUGGUGGUGGCGUACUCGUCGUCAACACCACCGUAUCUGUGGAGGGUGGUGGUGGCAUCCUCGCCGUCGACACCACCGUGACCGUGGCGGGCAUCAGCAGGGGCCUCGCCAGCGGCAACGUGACUAAUCAGGAGGAUAGCGUUGUGGGCGGCUUCUUCUGGGUGGAGGCAGCCGGGCGCUGCCACGCUGGGCAAGAUGCUAUGUGCGAAGAAGAGCCCUUUUAUAGGCCAGUACGGCGGUGAAUGGGUGGCUGGGUUAUGCACCGCACUGGAGCAGAGUUUUCGGGAGCGUCUAGAACACACGGCUGGACAACAGCAGUAGUAACAAAAAGGUACAUAUCGAUUGGGCCAGAAGCGGUCACGACAGAAAUACAGAGAAGCAUCGAUGUGUCUGGAAAGGGAGAUUUCGAUUGGGCCAGAAGCGGCCGCGACAGAAAUACAGAGAAGCAUCGAUGUGUCAACCAAGCGAUCGCCACACCCGUUGAAGAAAUUUGAAUCAAAAAACUGAACACACCACUCAUUUCUACCCUGCCGUGUACCAAAAAAAUACCACGCGCCAUACCCACAACUCACCAUAGGUCACUUUCAUCCAAUUGGUUUAAUCUCAAAGCGAAAACCUUGCCUGCAAUAGAGGCUUGGGUAUUUAAACUAGUGAUCGCUAACAUAGUAGAAGGGCGUGCUCAUAGUCCAUCAACCAUCGCGGUGGGUUGAUCUCGAACCUAGGCUGCGGUUAGAGCAUAAAAAUUGUAUGCGAUAUUGAGUCCAUCACACAAAGUUAGAACAUACAAACUAUGUGCAAUAGGAAGGGUCCAUCACACACGGUUAUAAUUAAAAAUCGUGUGCUCGGAUGGGUUGGCGAUUGGGGUGCCAAUACACACGCUUUCAAAACGGUGUGCGAUGAAUGGGCUCGACUAGGUCUAACAUAAGUGCUACAUUAUACAAUUAUUCAUUUUUUACAAGCAAACAUAGCACCAGACAUAAUUCACAAUUGGACAACCCAUCGCACACUCUACGAUAUUUUGUUCUGCCAUUUCUCUACUAAUGGACAAAAGGCACUCGGCUUACAUCGGUAUGCCAACAUGAUGUACCUUGAGUGCGUUACGCUGAGUGUCAAACCCGCCGAGGCAAAAUCAGCCUUUGCUAGGGGGUCUGCACACCCAAUGGCGGAGCUAUGUUGGNNNNNNNNNNNNNNNNNNNNNNNNNNNNNNNNNNNNNNNNNNNNNNNNNNNNNNNNNNNNNNNNNNNNNNNNNNNNNNNNNNNNNNNNNNNNNNNNNNNNNNNNNNNNNNNNNNNNNNNNNNNNNNNNNNNNNNNNNNNNNNNNNNNNNNNNNNNNNNNNNNNNNNNNNNNNNNNNNNNNNNNNNNNNNNNNNNNNNNNNNNNNNNNNNNNNNNNNNNNNNNNNNNNNNNNNNNNNNNNNNNNNNNNNNNNNNNNNNNNNNNNNNNNNNNNNNNNNCGCCACUGUGCACACCCAGCUUAAUAUGCUUUCUUGUAGUGGAGAAAUUUCAACGUAUGAUGUAAAAUAGCCGUUGUGUCAAAAGAAUUGACAGUUAGGUCACUUUGGGCCAAAAAAAGUAUCCAAAAGAUGCCCUAUAUACCUAUAUGUUGCAAAAUAAAAUUACCCAAAAUUUUGUCACACACAUCUAGUAGCUGCGUUGAAACCAAAAACAAUGCAGCAGGAACCCAACCACUAGCGAUGAGACUACCCCACCGCCGACAGUCGCCACCCCACACCUACUCUGACCGACUGUGCAGCGCAUGCCGCCGCCGCGACUCAAUCGGCCAUUCUCAGCCCCGCUACCACCCUGCCGCUUGGGAUGUCCGCUACCAAAUCUUGGGCCGGCGCAUCCGAUUCCACCGACUCUGGCCAUAGAAAGUUGGUGUAGCUACCGGGACAUCCCCCUUCAGUAUUUUGGCUAAUUUUGAACUUUUUGUCCGGAUCACAAGAAAAUGUUAGUAUCGUCCAUGUUGCUGAAGGGGAAUUACUACUUGGGGAUUUGCUCACUGAAUAUUGGAAUAUACUUACUUUAUGCAUGCCAUCAAAUAUAGCUCAUCCCCUGAAAGAACAAAGAUUGCUGAUGUUUUUUUCCACGGUUUUCUAAACAAUGUUGAUCUUUUUCAGAGAAAUGCAAUGAUUAUUUUUAGAGAACAUUCUGCAAAUCAACUAAAUAAGAGUCUAGGCAUUCUUCUUGUUUUUUUCGGGGGGAAGGUGUCUAGGCAUUUAUUAACAUGUAGAACUUACAAUGCAUGGGGAAUGAAAGAUCAAAUAUACCUUGCUCUCCUUUCUUAUUUUAGUGGCUGUUAAUGUCAUCAUAAAGAAUAUUACACAUUAGGAUUGAGUUGUUUUGCUCUUCUAUUUUCCAGUAAGCCCUGCGAUAUUUUACAACCCAUCGGACACCCUUGUGGAUCUGAUGCUAUGUAGAUCAAGAUUAUUUCUAAUUACCUGCGAGACACCGACAAAGUAUAUCAUGUGGAAUUUCUUGUUCCUGUGGUUAGACUGGAUCAGAAUCUAUCAGUUGAUUUUUAAAUCCGUGUUCUACAGCUCUAAGGUAGCCUCUCUGGUAGUCCCUAGUUCCUAAAUUUGUUGUUUGUUAAUUGAAGUCGAUGCCCAGAAUUGUUUUUCACAAUCCAAUCAUUGGAUAGGAUUAGUGUGUUGAAAACUGCACUAUCUGUGCUUCAUUUAAAGAUGACACAAAAAUUAAUUUUGUAAUUGUUGUGGAUUGCAUUCCAAUCGAACCCAAUUUGCUCAGUUUGGAUUAAUGGUUGCUGAGGUAUCACCAGAAUGGUGCUGCUGUACAAGUAUUUUCAAAGUUGAGCAGAUAUUGUUUUUGCAACUUUUAACAAAUUUCUAUUCGCAAGAACUAGUCUAUAUUCAGAUAUGACCAGUUUCUUAUUACAACAUGCAUGAAAGACGUAGAUAACUUCAUGUUGAAUAUCCUGAUUUGUUUAUUUUCUUCAUUUUGUAAAAUGGAUCAUGAUUUAUAUCCUAGAAAUUCAUAUAUGACGUGCUUUGGAGUUCAAAUUAAAUGGAGAAUCCAAGCUAUGCUUGUAUAUUUACCUAAUAAUAAUUAAUGGGCUAGCUCUAGGAGAUAUUUAUACAUAUACUAUUAGGUAUUAGGAUGUUCAAGAGCCAAGAACAAUACAUAAAAAUUUUAUGUUUAUAUUAAAGGGGCCUCGGGUUUUACUUUCGCCCCGGGCCCCCGAAAUGUCAGGACCGGCCCUGGGAGCAAGCAGCAAGGGAUCAUCGGCUCCGGUGGCGAUGAUAGGCGGCACUGGUGAGACAGCGAACGACAACGCAUGAAGCAAGCAGUAAUGGAUCGCCGUCUCUCGUGGCGAUGAUCCGCAUCAGCGGCUGUGGGACGGCUAAUGACGACAUGCAGAGCAAGCAGCAAGGGAUCGCCGCUCGCCGGCUCCAUCAUGAUGAUCUUCGGCGGCGGUGAGACAGCCGAUGACGACGCACGAAGCAAGCAGCAAGGGACCGCCGUCUCUCACAGCGAUGAUCUGCAAUGGCGGUGAGACGGCUGAUGACGACGCGCGGAGCAAGAAGCAAGGGAUCGUUGUCUCCCCCAACGAUCAUCUUGCCUUGGCGCUGGGAGCGGUUAGCGCGGUCGCAGGGCGACCUUCAACAGCAUGACGAAAAACGUGGAGAGCUCGGUGGCGGCAUGGGUGAUCGCCACUGUUCCUGGUUCUGCUCGGUGUUGUGUUCUUCCUCCGGGACUUGAUGCAUUUAUUUCCGGUACGUGUGCGUGGCUAUCCAGUUUAAAAGACAACAACCACGGAAAUCCAUAACUCUUGGACUUCGGACCUACCUUUCGUGCUCCGCCUCCUAGUAAAGUGCCUCAGUCAGUGGGUUACCCUCCUUUCUUAUUUUAGUGGCUGUUAAUGUCAGAUAUCAUAAAGAAUAUUACCACAUUAGGAUUGAGUUGUUUUGUUCUUCUAUUUUCCAGUAAGCCCUAUGAUAUAUAACCUAUCGGACAGCCCUAGAUCUGAUGCUAUGUAGAUCAAGGUUAUUUCUAAUUACCCACGAGACUCCGACAGAGUAUAUCAUGUGGAAUUUCUUGUUCUUAUAGUUAGGAUGAACCGUUGCAACAUCGUCUCGCAAUAAAUAAUUGUGCAAAAAAAUUAUGAUCAUUCACAAUAAUAUUGGAUCUCGAAACCAUGACUUAUUACAUAAUCAGUUUAUUCACUCUACAUAAAGCAGCGGACUCAUAGAGACAUAUGCAUAUUGGAUAGUACAUUAUAUGGAAGGCGUGCAUGCAUCCCUAACCGAUCACACCCUUAGUUGCACCUGGGGCUCUGCACGAUUGCUAACCGGAAAUGACUGGUCAAACGUGGCUGCAUGCUCACUACCAGUAAACCUAAGCUUGUCACCGACACGUUGAACCGUAUGGAAUGCAAGAAAAUGCCACUCAAACUGGAUCCUGACGCCGCCCCAAUUGAGUAAUGGAUCCGGGCUGGAUAACCCCACUGACUAUGCUGUCAAACCGAAUCUUGUGUGAUCCACCGGCAACUGUAACAUUGAAGUCGCACGAGGCGGGGAGGGUCACCUCAACGGCACCCCCAUCAUGGUUCACGUACGACUUCACGCCCAGAGGCAAGAGAGCCCGCAGGAAGUUGUUUUUCGCCAACAGGUCGUAUGCUGUGUCGGAGGUGGCCGCUUGGAGGAUGGAAGCCAUGAAUACGAUGAGGAGCAGAUGCUGGAUGGCCAUGGCUAGCUAACUGUUGCUGCUUACAAAUUGUAUCAAGGAAUAUGAGGAACUGAGAAGUAAGUGUAGACUGAGGCCCUGGCCACGUAUUAUAUAUGCUGCCCAACGAAAUCAAAGUCAAUCGUGCUUUAAUUGCAUUUAUUUUGUUCCUGAUUGUCACUCCAUCAACCGCCUCAUCAAAUAUGCUAAAAAUAUCAUCCCAUUAAAUCAUAUUUAUUUCUGGCCUAGAACAUUCUAUAGUUAAUGGUUAUGCCAAAACGUUCCUCAAAUCUUCAUAAUCAAUACGUACCAUAAAAUGAGACUGAAAUUUCAGAGCAACAUUCAUUUACGUACUUCACAGCCGACAUAUGAAACAUAUGCAAAAACCUAAAAAUGAAUCAAGGGGAAACAUCAACAUCCCAACAGUUUGAUCCUUGAUGUUGGCUUGGGUACCAAUGAGGCUUCUCUUCUCUUCAAAUAAUGUUGUGCAGUGCAACUAAAAUAUAAAACACCCGCAAGAAAGAAAUAUUUCAUUUAGAUAUACUUGAGUUUUACAUGAGUAUGCGGUGCAAUAGAAUGAUUAUCUCCCAUUGUGCAGAUCAUCUCUUUCAGGAUGCCUACUCAGGCCAGCACAGACUCAUACAUAACAUCUCCGUGAAAGUUUCCACAAUGUUAUAGCAUGAACUCCCAGACUGUGAGAGAGGCUCAGUACCCAUAUCCAAAAUGAUGAGUGCGGAGGAGCAGGUGCCUACCCCUCCACCUUCCAUUUCUCUUAAAAUUUUCCUGUGCAAUGCAACUAAACUAAAAAACAACUCCAAGCAAUAUAUUCAAUUUAUAUCUUGUUGGGUUAUGAUACGUCUCCAACGUAUUUAUAUAUUUUUUAUUGUUCCAUGCUAUUAUAAUUGUUGGGUCAUGAGCCGAAAGCAAGCCAUCGAACAUGCCAGUGUUGGAUUGGAUGAGAUUGUCGACCGCCUGAAGGAGGUUCUCAUCAUGAUCCUUGAAGAGCCGGUCCAGACCUACGGUGAAAUACGCUCGUUGAAGCACGUACACGCCACACCUUUCCUCGGACGGCUUGUCCAUCGCCUCCGCUCACGGCCGAUCACGCCACCGCGUCCCGUGAUGGUGUCACGGCAACUCCAGGACCACUUAAUCUUAUACCAAUUGUGAGCAACUCACCUGAUCGAGAGGAAUUUCUAGGGAUUAGAAUUCGAAAUUGCGGAAAUUGGUUUGUUAGCUAGACGUCCGUCCACCCUCACAGCUACACUACACCGCAUGUUGCCAUCAUCCAAAUCCCAGCCAGGAGAUAGGAGAGAAGUAUAAUGCCUACUAGCUUAGCCCGCGCGGCGACACGCCGCGCCCAUCGAUCAGUCGCGACUAUGUAGACUAUGGUCCAAGCAAUAGAGUAAUAAGUAGUUAUGAUGAAAUUUGUUGCAUAACUUGAGGCUUUUUAGCAAAUUGUUUUGUUCACAACAAUUUAUAGACACAAAUAUCUAUCUUUCAUGGAAACUUUUAGUUUAUUUUGUACAUAGCAAGGGUCUGUCCACCAAGUUGAAACAAAUACACAACAUGACCAAAAGUAAGGAACUUCGGAACAGUGCUUUCGUAGCUAAAAUUUAAUAAUUUUUCACAUUUCAUAACAUAAAUACUUAACUAAAACUUACAUCUGAUCUGAAGUACAACCAUUGAGACAGUAAAAAAACCACUAUUUUGAUCAUCACAAAAAAAUUAAUGUGCAUUUCAUGGAAAAAGUUUAGAGACAAAAUAAUUUAGCCAAGAGAAAAACUAUUUCAGAUCACAAAAGGCGCUCCAAAGAGUAAUUGUGUAUAUUAUUCAAAAGAACACUUUGUUACCUUCAGGCUUUAAUUAGCCCCAUUGUAUCUUGUGGAAUCAUGCAGUGAUACAAAUUCUUACCAUAAACAAAAAAAUUAAGCAGCUCUUAAUAUAGAAACAACCAUAUCACUCUGAAUCAAGGGAGCAUGAUGCGAUGAACUGAUGACGGGGAAUCUAUGGUAGCAUAUACCCAGGAAACAGUGUUCAUGGAAACUUUGUUAAACAACCCCUUGCUCAGCUUAAAAGUAUUCCUUCCUGGGUCUCCACUGAAACAAAGCAAUAUUUAUACACCCACAGGUGAGAACAAUAUGAGAUUGUUUGAUAUAAAACCAACAAUGCUUGAACAUACUUGUUUCUCUACCUCACCAUGUGGCAACCAGAAAAAGCUUUAACAAAUUAAAAACCACUUGCAAAUUGAAGUUGAGAGCCUUUACUUAUUUCUCGAAAUGGAAGGAGGAAGGGGCCUUAAUUUGUCCCAGUAACCCCAUGAAUAUAAUUAGCCAAAUAUGUGGCAUUUCAUCUUAUUACAUGGUCAUGCUGAAGGAGGGAACAUCAAUAAAAUUAGGCAUAAGAAAUCCAUCAAAUGAAGAGAGAUGUACUUAGAAAUAAGAAUAACAAACAUUCUCAGAUACUGCUUUCUGCCACGGAUGGCUCUCCUUCUUCGGAUGCUGCUUUUUAUCGGUCUGUCGUUGGUGCUCUCCAGUACCUUACUCUGACUCGACCGGAGAUCCAGUAUGCCGUGCAACAUGUGUGUCUUCAUAUGCAUGCUCCUCGAGACAUUCACUGGGCUGCCGUCAAGCGGAUUCUCCGCUAUAUCUGUGGCACUAUGGAUCUUGGCGUCACGCUUCACGCCUCCGCCGACACCGCCCUGCGUACUCCGAUGCAGACUGGGCGGGCUGCCCUGACACUCGUCGUUCCACUUCGGGCUACUGUGUCUACCUUGGACCCUCACUUAUCUCGUGGUCGUCCAAGCGGCAGCCUACGGUCUCUCGUUCUAGUGCUGAGGCUGAGUAUCGUGCGGUGGCCAACGCCGUCGCCGAGUGUUCGUGGCUUCGCCAGCUGCUUCAGGAGCUCUCUUGUCCUGUUGACCGUGCCACGGUGGUCUACCGCGACAACGUCUCGGCGGUCUAUCUCUCCGCUAACCCGGUGCAUCAUCGACGGACCAAACAUAUUGAGUUGGAUAUUCAUUUUGUUCGGGAACAGGUGGCCCUUGGCCAUAUUCGUGUUUUACACGUCCAUACUUCCCAACAAUUUGCCGAUAUCAUGACCAAGGGCUUGCCUACGGCGUCAUUUGAGGAGUUCCAGUCUAGUCUUUGCGUCAGCCGCGGUGCCGCUUCGACUAGGGGGGGGGGGUGUUGAGUAUAUGUGUUAUGUGCAUAUUGCGUAUUGGGCCCGCCUUCUAGUUCAUUGUAUAGUUGAGGUCCGUGGCCCACCUUUAUACAUCAUAUAUACGUGCCUAUGCAUGAAGAGUAAUACAUCGUGCAAUUGCCACAACUCACAAUGUUGAACACGCCACUCCUCAAGAUCGUUGCAGCCUCGCUGCACCAGCGUCGUGAUUUUUCUGGCAAGCCGUUGGUCCCUGAUAUUAGCUGACGUUAGCUGACACAAGGGUCCCACUACGGCCGCCAUCGCUUGCCCCUUUGUUGUCGAUGCCAGGUGGGCCACUCACUUCAGCUCCUUCUCCAAGCCAGCCAGUUAAUCAGGUCACAAAACCAGCCAUGGAGCACCCCACCGAAUCCAGCCAAUCAGGUAUAGAACCUGUUGGCAUAAGCCAUGCCAUGUGCGGUGGCGACUGGCGUUGGGCGCGCCAGGUGUGUGUCCGUGUAUGCGUGGGAGAGGCCACCCGAGUCGUGUGUGCUGUGACAGUUCGUGCAUGCAUGUAGCUGGAUUAGUGGUCGCAGGUGGUGACCAAGCCACACGGGUCAUACGUGCAUCUAGUCUAGGUAGUUAGUAUAAGGAUGCAUGCAUUGGUUAGCGUGUUAGACGGCCAGUGGUGGUUGGAUUACUACGGCCCUGUUUGGUUCAUAAGUCCUACGAUUUUUUUAGUCCCAACUUAUAAGUUUCAAGUCCCUAAAAAGUCCCUACCUGUUUGGUUCCUGCGACUUAUAAGUCCCUAUAAGACCAUAUUACAACUAUAAGACCCUAUACGUUCCUCCUUGAAAGUCUUAUUUCAUAAGUCCCAAAUGCCUAGUUUAAGUCCCUAUAAGUCCCUCCUGUUUGGUUUAGAUGGGACUUACAAGGACUUUUUUAAGUCUCUUGUAACGUCCCGGAUACAACUUUCCAUAUUCGUAACUCCAACUCUUGCCUUUUCCGGAGAUGCGAUAUGAUAUUUCCUUCGUGGUUGGGUUUUGUCUGUUGUUUUGCAUUUUGUUCUUGUUAUGCAUCUCAUCUCAUGUCAUCAUUCGCAUUGCAUCGGCAUUGUUUUCGUAAAACUUGCAUCAGUGGCCUAAAAAUGUUCUCGGAAUGGGAUGCAACUUGGCGUGCGGUCUUAUUAUAGUGUAGACAGACCGCCUGUCAAGUUUCGUCGCAUUCGGAGUCCGUUUGACUGCCCAACCGUUAAACAUAUAGCGGCACCGUUGCCGGUGUUUUCGCUGGACGUUUCGGUCUCCGGAACAGUUGCCGGGCCUCACUUCUCUUCUCUCCUCUCAGUCGAGGCCUCUCUUCACAGCCCACCUAGACCCCCUAUGUCCGGAGCUGCACGAUCGCGAUCGUACGGCUCGAAAACCCCUCCAACCCUAAUCUUAACCUCCUGCCCUAUUUAAACCACCUUCCCCUUCCAAUUUUGGCAGCCUCCCCCCUCCUCCUCUUUUUCCGCAACACCCAACCCGCAGCCACCUCCUCCCACCUCGGGGGCCGCGCCGCCGCCUUCCCCCCUUCCAGAUCCGGCGCGCCCCAGCCUCCCUCCGCCACUUGUCAAGCCCCUAGUGGCCAGCCACCGCCACAUCGUCGCCUCCAACCACUCUGGGAGCGCCACAUGGCCUCGCCGCGUCCUCCUCGCCGCCGAGGCCCGCGGAAGCCCGCAACCGGACCACCCCGGGCCGCAUCUGGCCUCGGCGCACCCACUCCCCCACAACCGUGCCGUCUCCCUGCUCGCCCGAGCGAUCCAGAUCGGGAGAGGAGCUCCCGAUCCAGAUCGUGCCUCGCCGCCGCCUCUGGCCGAAGCCAUCUCGCCGCCGUCUCACCGCCCCGGCGGACCCAGGUCGCUGCCGCCCGGUCUCUCUCUCCCUUCCCUUUCUCCUUCCUCCCCUCACCAGCUCUCUCUCCCCCGCAGCUAGCCGCCGCCGCCAUGAACGCCUCCACCGAGCUCCGCCGUGGGCAUCACCACCUCACCGCCGGCCUCCUUCCGCCAGAUCCGGGCAGGGGAUGGUCGGAUCCAUCCAUCCCCAACCUCCCGCCGACCCCUACAACACCGGAGCGUUGCCCCGCCGCCGGUCUCCACCGCGUCGACCUCCUGCCUCGUCCUCGUUCGGGCAGAGGACGAGGGCAUCCUCCUCGCGCACGUGGGCCAGCGCGUCGCCCUGCUGGUGGGUCACCCCACCUCCAAGGCCCACGUCGCCUCGGCCCAGCCCCGACCGGCCUCAAGGCCCGAUGUGAGCAGCUCCCCGACGCCUGGGCCAGAUCUCAGAUUCGGCCCAGCGUAGUUUUUUUUCCGCUCUGCGAUUUGCUAAUUAUCCAGAGUUUGCAUAUUUACAGAUUAACCCUCCAUGUUCAUGCAUAUAAUAACUCAUGAACCGUGCAUCGGAUUUAAAUAAUUUAUAUAUGUAAAAUGCUUAGAAUUUUGUGUAGAUUAAUAAUAUGCUGCUUGCAUCCAUGUUUAAAAUGUUGUUUGCAUUUAAUUUGCUCAAAUGCCAUGCAAAAAUGAUUUAUUUCAUAACUAAAUAACCGUAGCUCGGAAUUUAAUAAACUUUAUAUGUAAAUGGGGUGGAAAAAUGGCUAGAUUAACAUGGUGCACUUUAUUUUGCUGUUUAACAAUAUUAAAAUUGUGUUUAGGGCAAAACAGUACCGAAUCUAAAAUAUGCACAUGGGGAUUUUUCCGGAAUUGUUGUUUGUUGUUUCCGGCCUCACUUAAACUUGCCUAGAUAGGUAGUUUAAUUAUGUUUCACCUCUUGCCAUGUUUAACAACAUUUAAUAUUGUUGUGUACCUAAACGAGAGCGAACUAAAUAACUCAGAUGUGGUGUUUCGUCAAUAUGCAACUCGUUGCAUAUUGAGCUCCACUUAACUUGUAUUAUUGUUUGUUGCACUUUGCCAUGCCAUGCCUCAUUAAACCGGACAUGCAUCAUACUUGUUUGUGCAUCAUGCCAUGAUUAUGCUUGUGUGUUUACCAUGUUGUUUGUUUCUUUCCGGUGUUGCUUCUUAGUUCCGGUAAUGUUGCGAUUGUGAGGAUUUGUUCGACUACGCCCGUUCAUCUCCUUCAUGGACUCGUUCUUCUUCCUUGCGGGAUUUCAGGCAAGAUGACCGCUACCCUGGAUCUCACUACUAUCAUUGCUAUGCUAGUUGCUUCGUUCUAUCGCUAUGCUGUGUUACCUAUCUUUUGCUCUUCAAGCCUCCCAAAUUGCCAUGAACCUCUAACCUUUGACACUCUUCCUAGCAAACUGUUGCUUGGCUAUGUUACCGCUUUGCUCAGCCCCUCUUAUAGCAUUGUUAGUUACAGGUGAAGUUGAAGAUUGCUCCAUGGUGGAUAGGGUUUUGGUUGGGAUAUCACAAUAUCUCUUAUAUUAUUAAUGCAUCUAUAUAUUUGGUAAAGGGUGGAAGGCUCGGCCUUAUGCCUGGUGUUUUGUUCCACUCUUGCCGCCCUAGUUUCCGUCAUACCGGUGUUAUGUUCCCGGAUUUUGCAUUCCUUACGCGGUCGGGUGAUUUAUGGGACCCCCUUGACAGUUCGCUUUGAAUAAAACUCCUCCAGCAAGGCCCAACAUUGACUUUUACCAUUUGCCUCACCACCACCUAUAUUUCCCUUGGGAGUAAUUAACCCAAGGGUCAUCUUUUUUUAGCCCCCCCCCCGGGCCAGUGCUUGUCUAAGUGUUGGUCCGAAUCGGGCAGACUGCGGGGCCACCUCGGGGCAACUCGAGGGUUGGUUUUACUCGUAGGCUGACCUAUCCGGUGUUGCCCUGAGAACGAGAUAUGUGCAGCUCCUAUCGGGAUUAUCGGCGCAUCGGGCGGCUUUGCUGGUCUUGUUUUACCAUUGUCGAAAUGUCUUGUAAACCGGGAUUCCGAGUGUGAUCGGGUCUUCCUGGGAGAAGAUAUAUCCUUCAUUGAUCGCGAGAGCUUAUCAUGGGCUAAGUUGGGACACCCCUGCAGGGUAUAAUCUUUCGAAAGCCGUGCCUGCGGUUAUUGGCAGAUGAGAAUUUGUUAAUGUCCGGUUGUAGAUAACUUGACACCAGAUUCGAAUUAAAACGCAUCAACCGCGUGUGUAGCCGUGAUGGUCUCUUCUCGGCGGAGUCCGGGAAGUGAACACGGUUUAUGGGUUAUGUUUGACGUAAAUAGGAGUUCGGGAUCACUUCUUGAUCAUUGCUAGCUUCACGACCGUUCCUUUUGCUCUGUUCUCGCUCUUAUUUGUGUAUGUUAGCCACCAUAUAUGCUUAGUCGCUGCUGCAACCUCACCACUUUACCCCUUCCUUUCCUAUUAAGCUUUGCUAGUCUUGAUACCCAUGGUAAUGGGAUUGCUGAGUCCUCGUGGCUCACAGAUUACUACAACAACAGUUGCAGGUACAGGUUAUGCGAUGAUCAUGACGCGAGAGCGAUGCUUGCUUGCGUUGGAGUUCUUCUUCUGUUUCUUCUUCGAUCAGGGGAUAGGUUCCAAGUCGGCAGCCUGGGCUAGCAGGGUGGAUGUCGUUUGAGUUUCUGUUUGUGUUUCAUCCGUAGUCGGAUGGUGCUCUAUGUAUUGUGAUGUUGUAUUCGUGUGGCAUUGUAUGCCUCUUGUAUGUAUCCACAUCUAUUAUAUAAUGUUGAUGUAAUGAUAUCCACCUUGCAAAAGCGUUUCAAUAUGCGGGUCUAUCCUUGGUGGGACCUUCGAGUUCCUUUUGGAUAGGGUCGCAUAUUGGGCGUGACAUCUCUAGACCAAUAAGUCCCUGGAAACAAACACCGUCUACGUGUGUGUCGUGGGGUUAGUGGCUGGUGUGAUGGCCGGGUCGUGUGUGUGCGUCCGGGUAUAAAAAGCCCUCCCAUGUAUUGAUUGAGGUGCGCCCGUUUGUUGCCGCGCCACGGUGACGGUAUGUGCCGAACCGAGGGGAAGGGGCCUAAGGAAGAUGUAGUCUUCAUCGGGACCGUGGUAUGCGCCUGGUUGAUGUGAGAGUUCUUCCGGGGUUGUGCUGCGUGUGUGUACCUCCAUGUAUGUGUGUUUGAGUAGUUGAGUUGAAUAGAAGCCAACAUACAGGCCGUUCGGCGGCCGGGGCGUUCGUCGCUGGAAAAUUCUGUUCAUCUUCUUCUACCUUCGUCCGGCGGUCGUCGUCGGAGGGCGGUUCGGCGUAUGUCCCCGGUGGGUUUGUCCCAACAUUUGGUAUCAUGAGCUUCGUUGUCUUGGGCGUCGUUCUCCUUGCCGGAGGAGUGCCGGCAGUGGCGGAGUUCGCCGGCGGCUGCGCGGUGCUCCGGGCCGUGUGUCGGCCUAUGGAGGUGCGCGGCGCUGCGACAGCGCGGCGAGGAGGCCGCGGAGGUCCUGCUUGGUGGCGCAGAGGCCGCGAAGGCGCGGCGGCAUUGUGUAGCACGGCGUCGGCCGCCCGAGCGCGUCGGCGUCGACGACGUGUGUUGCAGGCAGUGAAGGGAAUUGGCGUGCAUCGCCGGACACGAAGAAGAAGAAGAUGCAGCAGGGUUCACGUCUGAGAGGCUGUAGCGGCGGCCAUGGUGGCAACGAUGACGGGAGCUGCAGCGAGGACAACAGCGACGAUGUCAUGGCUUAGGAGGUGAGUGUUGGCAUAAGCCAUGCCAUGUGCGGUGGUGACUGGCGUUGGGCGCGCCAAGUGUGUGUCCGUGUAUGCGUGGGAGAGGCCGCCCGAGUCGUGUGUGCUGUGACAGUUCGUGCAUGCAUGUAGCUGGAUUAGUGGUCGCAGGUGGUGACCGAGCCACACGGGUCAUACGUGCAUCUAGUCUAGGUAGUUAGUAUAUGGAUGCAUGCAUGGGUGGUUAGCGUGUUAGCCGGCCAGUGGUGGUUGGAUUACUACAUGUGUGUCGUGGGGUUAGUGGCCGGUGCGAUGGCCGGGUCGUGUGUGCGCGUCCGGGUAUAAAAAGGCCUCCCAUGUAUUGAUGGAGGUGCGCCGGUUUGUUGCCGCGCCACGGUGACGGUAUGUGCCGAGCCGAGGGGGAGGGGCCUAAGGAAAAUGUAGUCUCCAUCGGGACCAUGGUAUGCGCCUGGUCGAUGUGAGAGUUCUUUCGGGGUUGUGCUGCGUGUGUGCGUGUGUACCUUCAUGUAUGUGUGUUUGAGUAGUUGAGUUGAAUAGAAGCCAACAUACAUGCCGUUCGGUGGCCGGGGCGUUCGUCGUUGGAAAAUUGUGUUCAUCUUCUUCUACCUUCGUCCGGCGGUUGUCGCCGGAGGGCGGUUUGACGUAUGUCGCCGGUGGGUUUGUCCCAACAGAACCAACCUCUCGUGGAUCAGCCAUGCGUAACCCUAGCGUCUGAUCCAAACUGUCCACACAUAGCGAUCUAAUGACAUGAAAGGGUGCGGGGUUUCAGGGGGGGUGGGGUUGAGGGGUUUUGAGAGGGUUUCAAGGGUUAAGGUUGAGCAUAAGUAAUUAAAAAAAUACAAAAAUAUGAAACAUGUGCAUCAUCGUUUUUAUGUGACUAAGUUGCUAGGAAAAAUAAGGAACUUGGUAUACGGAUAUUUUCAUGAAAAUCCCUUUACAGAACUUGGCUAUCAUGAAUGAGGUUGCAGUGUUUUCAAGGGAUAUGAGCUAGGGUUUAGGGUUAAGCAUGACAUAGUUUGUCCAAAUGAUCCCAUAUUGGGCAUGAACCCUAUAUUUGCACACUUUAUGUCAAGAUUUUUUUUCGCUCAUUUAGAGAAGGUCGAAAAAAAACUUGCAUAUAAUUGAUGUUGUUUACCCUAGCUUUGGAGCUCAUUUUUCAUGACUAUGAGUUUUACUUUCACAAAAGUGCUCGGAUUGAUCACCUCAAGUGCAUGAUAUUUGAAAAAGCAUCGAAACAUCAAUACACAUCAAAGUACAAAUUUGAAUUUUGGCUCAAAUUUGAAUAGUGUGUACCAAUAUACAUCAGAGUACAAAUAGCAUUACAUCACACAAGUUUCAAUACCACAAACCAAGAACAAGUUUGGACAAAAAGACGGGAAUACAUAGUGUGUACCAAUACACAUCAAAGUACAAAUAACAUUACAUCACACAAGUUGAUCCCCAUGUUUGUGCCAAAUAUGGUCACCUUAUUAUGAAAUAUUUUGAAAACUCCCUUGUUCGUAGGAAAAAUUAUAAACUUGAAAUACCAUAAAAUAAAAUAAAUUCUUCACAAAAUUGCCAAAUUUGAACUUGUGCACUAUUUAUAGAGAUUGUGCCAAAUCCUUCACUAUUUCUAGGAAUUUCUAUGAAGCAAGUAGCAGAAAUAUGAUAAAAUUGGCAAAAGUACAUUUUUGCGUCUUAUUUGUGAUAUUUGCUUCACCAAAAAAAACUUUAUUGGAAGUUGAAAAAUGAUUUUUAUUGUAACAAAUUUGGAAACUCCCUCUUUUGAAAGCUAUCUUUUUAGUGUUCAUUCUUAAAUACAAUUCUCUGAAAAUUGUGAGCAAUUUUUAUUAAAUUAGUAAGGUAAAUAGGGAUUUAUAGACAUUUUUUGCUAGAGUUGGACCAAGAGGGAAUUUGAUUAGGAAUUUCUAAAGAAGUCCUGUAUAUAUCAAAUAUAGAUUUAAAUCAAAGAUACAUAGAAAAACUUCAUGUAUAAUUAUGAAAAUUGGAUAUUAAAUAGGUCUGGAGAUCUGAUGAAUUUAUGAACUUGAAUCAACUCAACUAGAUUUAAAAUGAAUGUUCUAUGAAUUUAUAAAAUUGACUAGAAUUGCAAAAAGGUAUUCGAUACUGUUCAGGCGGGCUAAACAGAUCGACCCAAUUACUUAAAAUACCAAUCUGGCGCGCUUAAGGAGAUACGCACACAUGUCACACUGGCUCGACCCAGCUUUGUCUCUACGGGCUGGGAUGCGACGUCAAUGGCACACUAUUGAGGUGGUCCCACUCGUUAGGAUGUCAUCCAAGUAACAGUAAAUGGGCUUUUAUCCAACGGAAUGCAUCGUUUGGGCAUUUGCGAGGCCGGGGCCUAGUAAAGAGGGGAAAAGUGAGGAACGUGAAGGUGGCAGAGCAAAACUAAGUAGAACUAAAGAAUCAGGGGCACCAAAAUAGAAAGCCCUAAAUCCUAUGAACGUGCUCCUCGAUGAUCACGUAGACACUUCUCAAAUUGCUCAUGGUCGUAUGUUAAUACUAUUUGAGUCUAUUUUAGUUACGAUUUAUCUUAAAUUUAUAAUAGUGAGACUCAGCUGCCUCCUACUCCUCCAAAACAAAACCUAGGGUUCCUGCCUCUCGCCGGCACCACCGCAGGUCCGCCUCGCCUCCGGUGGUCCUAGGCAGGGCCGGCCCUGAGGGGGGGCAGGGGGGGUGGCCGCCCCGGGCCCCCAACAUCGAGGGGUCCCCUCUCAAGUAAAGUAGCCCAGGGAUUCUCCCCAAAAAAAGAAGCGACUAGGACUGGGUCGUAGCAUGGCUUCAGGCCUUUUGCAUGUUCAGCUUCAUAUGGCCCAAGUGGAUUGCUGGGCUAGGUAGUCAUGCAUGUACGCAUUAUUUCUCGGAAACAAAAACGCACGCACUAUGGCUGAUCGAUUAAAUCAGAUCAGAUCAGAUCAGCUCGAAGAGGGGCAAUGUAUCACGCACGGCGUUGGCGAUCGAGGGAACGAAUUCCGCUUCAGGCCGAACGCCCUUGCCAUCACCUGAUCGCCGUCUAGUCUCGCCUCUCGCGACCUUCAUGCGCAGCAGUAGCCAAGAGACGAGAGGGGACAAGGCCUGCUUAGACUGGAUCAGAAUCUAUCAGUUGAUUUUUAAAUCCGUGUUCUACAGCUCUAAGGUAGCCUCUCUGGUAGUCCCUAGUUCCUAAAUUUGUUGUUUGUUAAUUGAAGUCGAUGCCCAGAAUUGUUUUUCACAAUCCAAUCAUUGGAUAGGAUUAGUGUGUUGAAAACUGCACUAUCUGUGCUUCAUUUAAAGAUGACACAAAAAUUAAUUUUGUAAUUGUUGUGGAUUGCAUUCCAAUCGAACCCAAUUUGCUCAGUUUGGAUUAAUGGUUGCUGAGGUAUCACCAGAAUGGUGCUGCUGUACAAGUAUUUUCAAAGUUGAGCAGAUAUUGUUUUUGCGACUUUUAACAAAUUUCUAUUCGCAAGAACUAGUCUAUAUUCAGAUAUGACCAGUUUCUUAUUACAACAUGCAUGAAAGACGUAGAUAACUUCAUGUUGAAUAUCCUGAUUUUCUUAUUUUCUUCAUUUUGUAAAAUGGAUCAUGAUUUGUAGCCUAGAAAUUCAUAUAUGACGUGCUUUGGAGUUCAAAUUAAAUGGAGAAUCCAAGCUAUGCUUGUAUAUUUACCUAAUAAUAAUUAAUGGGCUAGCUCUAGGAGAUAUUUAUACAUAUACUAUUAGGUAUUAGGAUGUUCAAGAGCCAAGAACAAUACAUAAAAAUUUUAUGUUUAUAUUAAAGGGGCCUCGGGUUUUACUUUCGCCCCGGGCCCCCGAAUUGUCAGGACCGGCCCUGGUCCUAGGGCCAUGGGGGACGCGGUGGAUCCUGACAAGGGCCGGCGGAAGGGCUCCGUUUUUAGUCGCUUCUUUCAGUUGGGUUUGUGUCCUGUUCAGGAAGACGAAAUAGUGGCGGCUCCCUAAAGAUGAAAUAAAGGUCUCCCCGCCUAGUCCCUGUUCCGACGGUGCGUCUAGCAUCGUUGGUGGGCGUGUGAAGGCGUAUUUUCGGCGAAUCUACCUUUGGUGGAUUUGCUUGGAUCUCAUCGUUUUUUGUCCACGUUUGUGUGUCUCCGGUUUGGAUCCUUCUGAUCUACAUUAUUUUUCAUCGGCGGCGGUUGCUGUUCUGGUGUGUUGGUCCUAUGCGGCCUUAGCACGACGACUUACCGACUAUCUACUACAAUAAGUUGUGCCCAACUCCGGCAAUGGAGUGGUGAUGACGGCAGCGUGCCUUCGGCUCGCUUCAAUACUUAUAGUCGUCGCUAGGUGGUCUAGGAUCUGGUUGUAAUUUUUAUUAUUUUCGGUGUUCGUCGUACUGCCAUGAUUGAUGAUGAUUAGAUCAAAAGUUUUCUUGCAAAAUAGAUAAAUAAUACUCCCUCCGUAAAUUAAUAUAAGAGCGUUUAGAUCACUGCUCACUUAGGUCGGCUAACGAGGAGUAAUAGUGAGACUCAAGCUUCCAUAGCGAUUCGGUACCCUUAGCCAUUCUAUUGGAUCUUCAAUGCUCCAGAUUUAGGUUUGUGAACCACCAUCGCCCCAACGCUUAUUUGGCCCUCGUUCACCUCGUUAGCCGACCUAAGCAGGUCGGAUGAACGUCAAAAGGCGAAAUCACGGAGAGCACUCCAACUCUCCCAGGUUGCGACAAGUGGCACGAGAUCACUCCAACUUCCCCAGCUUGCGUCAAGUGAGGUGCUGUAUGAGUGCCACUUGUCGCAACCUGGGAGUUUUUCCUUUUUUUGUAGAUCAGAUUAUUUAAAACGUUUUAUCUUUUAAACCAUGCGUUCAAAUCUCCAACCGCUUUCGCCGUUGGAUUUCUCGCGUCGAGAUCUUCAAAACUAGAUCCCAUGUUGAUAGGUCUUGACGAACUUUUUUUUCAUGAAAAAACCGGACGAAAAAACCCGAUGAAAAAACCGAACCGGGAACACGGUUUUUUUUCCUUUUCGAAAGAGGCACACCCAUGCCUCUGACGAAAUCACAACCUUGCCUCUCGCGGAAAAAAAACCGUGCCUCUCGCGAAAUACAAAAAACAGAAAACGUGUUUUCCCUUUUCGAAAGAGGCACGCCCGUGCCUCUCGCGAAGCACAACCGUGCCUCUCGCGGAAGCAAAACUGUGCCUCUCGCGGAAGGAAAAAGCCCAGAAAACACGUUUUUUUCCCUUUCCAAGAGAGGCAGGCCCGUGCCUCUCGCGAAAGCACAACCGUGCCUCUCGCGGAAGCAAAACCGUGCCUCUCGCGAAAGGAAAAAAAAACAGAAAACAUGUUUUUUUUCGUUUCCAAGAGGCACGGCCGUGCCUCUCACGAAAGCAGAACCGUGCCCUCGCGAAAACAAAACCGUGCCUCUCGCGAAAAAAAUACGUUUUUUUGCGCAAAAAUAUUAUUUUUUUUUCAAAAUUAUUUUUUGUCGAAAAGCUAGGGAAGACCGGUGGAAAACCAAAACAUAAAAAAACCCGGAGAAAAACCGUUUAAAAAGCCGAAAACGCGUGCGGAAAAAUAAAAAAACAAAAGCCGAAGGGAGCGCCCAGAGCGCGACACGUGGCGAAUGGCUGAGAGCGCGCCAAAUAACGCUGAUCGUUAUGAGGCUCCCGAAGAAGCGCUCGUUAAUUAGUUGCUCCCGUCAAAGGUACGCUGCUCCGAACACUUACGUCAAUGUCAAUGGUUUUUGCUCGUCAACGCCCAUGUGAACGCUCGGUUUGGCCGGCCCAUUAAGCAUCCUUCGACCGCUCACUCGCUUGAUCACUAACCAGCUCGCUCGCUCGUUUGAUCGCUGGACCGGCUCGCUCGCUCGCUUGAUCUGUAGACAAAUUUGCUUGCUCACUUUCUAUUGGUUCGGAGAAACCAGUGAUAUUCUUUGGGGGGAAAACCAAGUCCCGGUUUUUAUGGGCUAAAAAACAUAAAUUAAAAAAAUAUUUGUUGAUUUGAAAAAAGUUCAUCAUGGUGAAAGAGUUCACAAAUUUGAAAAAUAAUUUCGUGGAUAUGAAAAUAGUUUGUGAAUUUCGACAAAAUUUCAUGAAUUUUGGAAAUGUCCAUGAGUUUUUAAGAAUUAUUUGUUUUUUUUCAAGAAUUUAGAAAAAUCUUUCCGAAUUCAAAGAAGUUCAUGAAUUUGAAAAUACUUCUGAAUUUGAAAAAGGUCCAGGAAUUAAAAUAAAAAUGAAAAUGAUAAUAAAAACAAUCUGAAAUAAAAAAAGGAAAAUAGGAAAAAAAACAGGAAAAAAUACUAAAAGAGACUAAAUAGAAAAAAGAAGAAAACCAAAAAAGCACAGGCACAAUCUUCUAGAAUGUUCACAAAACCUUUUUUUUAGAAACACCGGUAAUUUUAUGCAUACUCAUAACAAUUGAAGGUACACUGAUUUGGAUCUAAGAUCCAAGAAAAUACAAAGUAACUCCGAUGACUAAGUGUUACAAUGACACCUCUUGAAAACACCUUCUUCAAGGUAACAAUCUUUGCUCGAAGAAAUACUUCAAAGACUUCGAUAAAGAUACUGCAAUUGGACUGAAGCAACAAUUUUGUCACUCUUUUACCUACACGAACAUUACCAAUAAUGAUUUUUAAAGGUGCCACUGUUUCGGGCGUUUUCUCAUGAACCGGGCUGCUGUGGGCCGAGUGGCUGCCGAAGUGCUAUGAUCGGGCUGCUGAUCGUUGAUCUUUUUUUUUUAGCCACCGAUGUAGAAGAACACAAAUGUUGCAUGUGACCAACGUGCCUAAAAGAACGUCUUUCAAAAAUAUGUCGUUCAAGGACCUGUAAUAAUAGGCUGUUCAAAAAAGGACAUGAAAUAGUGUUGUGGAGGGAGAGACCCGUGUGUUGUAGCAGAGUGAAACUCGGGCCUGUGUGCUGGACCUUGUAGCAAUGAUUUGGCUUUGGAUAUCAUUUAGCUCUGUUUCCAAGUUACAAAUAAAACAUCCCAAAAAAACUUGUGGCUAACAAGAACUUGUUUAAACUCGUAAAUGUGUGCAUACUACAAUGCAAGUUGAUAUUAGACAUUGAUUGCAUGUACUCCUCCGUCCCAAAAUAAGCGUCUUAACUUUUACUAGUUCUAAUAUAAAUUUAUACUAAACUCAAGACUAGGGCUGGAAAAAAAGCUCGAAGCUCGCGAGCUAAAUGAGUAGCUCGUGGCUCGGCUCGAAUCGACUCGAACUCGAAGAAUAACGAGUCGAGUCGAGCUUUAGUUUAAGAUCGUUUAUAGACCAAGUUGAACGAGCCAAUCUCACGAGUACUCGUGUAACUCGUUAGGCUCGAUACAAAAGAUCAGCCACUCCCAAAACAAAAAAAAAUCAGCCACUCAGCACUCUAUGUCUCAGGCGCACAACACAAGGCCUAGCCGUUGAAGGCCCAAUCGCCUAGGAGACUCAUGCGUUAUAAGGAAACUAUUAUUGUUUAGUGAUAUAUAUGUUUAAUAUAUACAUAAUCAUUUUUAUAAUAUAUGAGGGUUUUAUGAUCAUAUCUUUAACGAGCUUAACAAGCUAAACGAGCCAGCUCGUGAGUUAUACGAGUCGAGCCAAUCUUGAAUUUGAGCUCGUUAUAAUAACGAGUCGAGUCGAGCUAACUCGUUAACGAAACGAGCUCUAGCGAGUCGAGCCGAGCUGGCUCGACUCGGCUCGAAUUCCAGCCCUACUCAAGACACUUAUUUUGGGACGGACGGAGUACAUUUUAGCUAGUAGUAGAUAUUAUUUGCGUGUUAAUUAUGUAAUUACCUAACAAAGAUAUUUGGUAUGGUGCAAAUUGCAUGCAUUAGGGCGGAUAUUAUUUGGUAUGGUGCUAAUUGCAUGCAUUACUAUUAUUUACGCAUUAAUUAUGUGAUUGCCACCGACGUCGAUAAUUUGUAUGAUAUUAAUUAAAUGUUAGGGCAUCUCCAAGGCGGAUCCGUAAACCUCAUGUAACCAUUCAGACCGUGCUUUCCGGACCGCGGAAGCCGUCCAACGCCAUCCUUUAUCGGUCCGCGGGACGGUCCAGAAGCGAUUAUCCGGCAAAACGGAGACAAAAGUGUGGGAGGUUUACGAGAGUCCGUACACGCGAAACGUACGAAUCCGACACCCCAGGCCCACCCAAAACCCUUUCCUGACCCCGCGACUCCAUCCUUCCUAUUUUCUCUCCUUCCUCCUUUCUCUUUUGCUGUCACCGCCGCUCCACUACCCCGACCACCACGCCACACCCCUGUCGAAAAUCUGCGUCUGCAUCAAUAAAUUCGGCGCCUAAUUAUAUUUCUUUACGGAGGGAGUACCUUAUUAGAAAUCAUACAUGUUGUGCCGCUUAUUCGAAUAUAUUACCAAAUGUUCUACUUAGACAAUUUUUUUUGCACAAUGACAUUCCAAUGCUUUUUUUUGACAAAAAUGACGUUCCAAUCCUUAUUUAUAUGUCGGUGUCACAUGUGUUAAUUUUGCAACGUAUACAUAACAUUACCCAUUAGGAUUGAGCCUCUAUCUUUACUGUAAGCCCUACGAUAUUUGACAAUCCAUCGUACACCAUUGGACAGUUUGUUUUUUUCAAAGGGCAUCCGAUGCUAUGUAGUUCUAAGCUUAUUUCUAGUUACUCGCAAGACUCCGACAGAGUAUAUCAUGUGGAAUUUCUUGUUCUUAUGGUUAGGAUGAACCGUUGCAACCUCUCGCAAUAAAUAAUUGUGCAAAAAAAAUUAUGAUCAUCACAAUAAUAUUAGGUCUUGGGACCAUGACUUAUUACAUAAUCAGUUUAUCCACUCUACAUAAAGCAGGGGACUCACAUAGACACAUGCAUAUUGGAUACUACAUUAUGGAAGGCGUGCAUGCAUCCCUAACCGAUCACACCCUUAGCUCCACCUGGGGCUCUACACGAAGUUGCUAACCUGAAAGGACUGGUCGAACGUGGCUGCAUGCUCACUGCCAGUAAACCUGAGCUUGUCACCGACGCGUUGAACCUUUUGAAAUGCAAGAAAAUCCCAUUUCACCUAUAUCCUCACGCCGCCCAAUUGGGUUAUGGAUCCGGGCCGGAUAACCCCACUGAUUAUGAUGUCAAACCGAAUCGUGUGUUGUCCGCCAGCAACCGUCACGUUGAAGUCGCACGAGGCGGGGAGGGUCACCUCAACGGCGCCCCCAUGGUUCACGUACGACUUCACGCCCAGAGCCAGGAGAGCCUGCGGGAAGUUGUUUUUCACCAAAGGUUGUACGCUGUGUCGCAGGUGGCCGCUUGGAGGAUGGAAGCCAUGAAGACAGACGAUGAGGAGAUGCUGGAUGGCCAUGGCUAACUGUUGCUGCUUACAAAUUGUAUCAAUAUAGGAAGAAGAGGAAUGGGGAAGUACGUCCAGACUGAGGCACUGGCCGCGUAUUAUAUAUGCUGCCCAACGAAAUCAAAGACAAUCGUAUUUUAAUUGCAUUUAUUUUGUUUCCAAUUAGCAUUUCAUCAAUCAGCUCACCAAAUAUGCUAAAUAUAUCGUCCAAUUAAACUGUACUUAAUUUUGGCCUAGUCAAACAUUUCAUAGUUUGCCAAAUUACCUUCCCUAAAUCUGCAUAAUCAAUACGUACCAUAAUAUGAGAUUGAAAACAUAUCCUAUAUACAUCAAUAGUUCACAUCCUCAUUAUUUUUAUUAUCUUAUAACACAUGCACAUAUGCUGAUAUGCAACAUCAUCAAACGUCCACCACAACAUGUAUGAAAUUAUUUUAUUAUUAUUAAUUAAUCCUCACCGAUUCUUUUUAUUUGUUUUGAUUGAAUACAGUACAGACGCAAGCUCUCAUAUACAUGUGCAUACACUCACCCCUAUGAACGCACACACUCACACCCUACCCCUAUGAGCACCUCCGAAAGACUGAGCCGGCAUAUCAUCUUAAAAUUUACGAAGGCACCAUAGGCACCUCGUCGUCGACGGGAAAGUUUCUCCCACCGAAUGUGCAUCGCCGGGAAUCCACAGUCCCUCUAACCAUUCAACCACAGGUUGGUUCGACUAAUUUCUUUUUAUUUCAACAUACACACAUAAGCCAUGCACAUAUGCCACCUUAUCGAAGGCCCACCCAACAUGCAUGGGGGAAAAUCCAUUAUAUUAUUUUACUACCUAUAUUCAACAAAUAUUUUCAACUAUACAAUAUAUAAUAUGUAUUCUAAGUUUUCUCAUAUACUAUUAAUUCAAAUGUUUCUUACAAUCAAAUCUUAUUGAAAUAUAUUGCAACAUAUUCUCGCAGCAACGCAUGGGGUAUCAUCUAGUUUCACUAGUAUACAUAAUCGAGCAUUGAGGUGGUUCUUGUACACAGACGACCAGCGGCUGUUUUCAGUUCCGCCUCAAAGCCUAUGUCGCUAAUACUCUGCACGGAGUCGGCUGUUGUGGAAACUACCUCCAAUAUCGUCGACAACACAUGCGGUUUUGUCCUGCUUCCAAUACCCUUCUUGCCACAGGCAAUUUUGUACGAAUAACCGCCUUCAUUUUAUAUGUUAGGGAUAUAAAUGUUGUCUUUUAGGUACUCGCCUCUACUAAUCAUAGUCAGAUGAAAUACUCCUCUAUUUUCGUAUUACUUAACCUGUCACGUGAUAAAAUUGAAAGUAAUUGUUCAAAUAAUCAUAGUCAUACAUAAUUCAUUUCCACAAAGCUUAGCAUCUCUUCUCUUAAAUUUUUCUUGUGCAAUGCAACUAAAAUAAAAAACAACUGCAAGCAAAAAUAAUAAUUUAGAUCUUGUUGGGUUAUAUUUGACAUAAUUAUGUUCGGGGGUCAACACAUAGGUAUAAAAUCUAGAAGGAAGAGAGACAAAGAUUCAGACCUCAGAUAACGCUAAUUCACCUUAAUUUUUCACAUUAAAGGUGUAACUGCUUUGACAAGCAUGAGUUAAAGAAUUUUGUUUAUGCUUCACCAAAACAAAAAUUCAAAGCUAGCGAUGCCUAUGAUACAAGUAAAGGCUACCAGUUUGUCAUUGGUCUAAAACAAAAACUUAACUAUACUCCCUCCUUUCUGGUUUACUUGGCCAAUCUUAGAAAUCUCGUCAACUAAAAAUCGUCAUAUAAGCAUAAAAUCGCUUACCCUAGAGGCAACAACUAUCCAUAGAAAAAUAUAUAAUCUGUGGCGAAAGAUUGGGAGCUCACCGUGCCGUAGAUUCGAAGGCCUCGGUGGAGGUCAGUGGCGGUGACGAUCCAAUGCAGCCAUCGUGGUGCCAUCGCGCAGCCGCCGAUGGAUGGAUGACACUGCGGAUGGAAAGAGCUUCAACUGUGGCGCUGCGGACGUCUGGAUUUACCACCGCGACACGAACGAGCGGAUCACCACGUUGUCGUGGACUAGGGUGGAAGGGUCAAAGGCUAUCAAAGGCAGGAAAGGGGAUCCUAGUAAAUUUGUGCUACAAGUUGUUCUGGCCUACACCGUGAACUGUGUUUCUUUAACUAAGGUCCUCAAGUAGCUUACUUCAGUAAUUAUGUUAUGGAAAAAUUCUGGUGCGACGUAUACAAUGGACAACGCAAGGUGCCUUGGGCCAGCUAGGAGAAGCUCUCGGUGCCAUGGAAAAGUUGAGGUGUUGGCUUUAGGGAUAUGGAGGCUUUUAAGUAAACAUUUUGGCUCGGCGAGGUUGGCAGAUCCUAAAUGAGUAUGUUUUUUUGUAGGACGAGCUACACGGUACCCUAUAUCCUCACCGUCCAAACUGGACCAGGUGCGUAUGGAUGUGUGCAAAGAUUCGUUCUCGAUGCAGGCUGUUUUGAGCCAUGCAGUGUCAUUAGCAGCUGGUACAGCUUUCUAGGCACGCAUGGCAGUGUAGUGGGGCAGUAGGGUAUAGGUCCUAGGUUCCUAGGAGUUUGUCCGCAUGGCGCACAGUACUAGUCACCAUUGCUUGUCCAGAAGAAUCUGCAUGUGCUACAAUUUUCUUGAAUGUAUUUUUUAUAUGCAUGGCUACACGGUGCAUUGUGUGAUGGCAUUGGGUUUCCAUAUUUCUUAGUUUUCAAUUUAUCUUACUGCGAGUGCAAGAUGUCGGCCAGGCUACAUGAAUUUCUUUCUUGAGAGUUAAGAGAGAGAGGUGAAGACGGAAUGAGAAUGCUUGUGUUUUCAUGUAAGAAUGCUAUUAAAUUAAAAAGGAGAAAACAUGAGGAGAAAGUGAGACUGUUGUGCAUGCAUGUCAGGAGACUUUAAUGCAUGAGAGAGAGACGGGGAAGAGAGAUGUGCAGCGAGUUCUUUGUCCUUUGUUCGCAUGCGGACAUGAUAAAGAAAGAGCCUACUGCUACUACAGCUAAUCACCUUGGAUUGCUUUCAAAAAAGUCUGUCACAAGCACCAAUCUCAAAGGCAUUGAACGGGUUGGAUAGAGGGUACCGUGUAGCUUGAGCUAUGCUAGAACUUUGCGAUCCUAAAUUGUCCUGAGUCACUCUGUGGAAGUUUUAAGAGCCUGCUAUUUCAGGCACACUAAUUUGCUGAUUGCUUUUAGUUCCCCUCGUCAUGGUUCCUGACAUGGCGCGUAUUUUACAUGAAAGGAAGUUGCUCAAACAGGGAAUCAUCUGAAGAAUCCUCAAUGAAGAAAAGGUCGAUAUCUAGCAAGAUGAUUUGUUAUGUUGGAAUAGUUGUAGGCACCCUUUGGGAAGGCAAAAGGAAACUAACAUUUGUUUUUUUAGAUAAAAGGUGAUAGCCCGACUUUAUAAAUAAAGCCACCAGGCAGAGUCACAGCCAACCACGAAACCACAGAAGUUUAACAAAGCCGAAAAAGAAGUGCAGAUACAAGGCAUCCAGCCUAAAUGGCACGCAGGCCUCCAAACCAACAGCCAAAACACUAAGGAAGAUCCCGCCUAGAAUGCCGCAACAGGGUGGACGCCGUAGAUUUCAUUCUGGAUAGCAUAUCAUCGAAAGCCUCUAGAUCCCCAUCCUUAAUCAAUGAUCUCCACUGCUGCAAAAAGAUAGUGGCUUUAAAUAAGCAGUUGACUGGGUUAGUUGGAAAAAUGUGUUCAAUAGUGAACUUGUUCCUAGUAGUCCAGAGCGCCCAACAAAUCGCAGCCCAGCCCACCAUGAAAACCCUCUUAGAACGGCCUACUAGGGAAUCGAUGCACUGCCUCAAAUCACCAAAGGAGGAAGGGUUCCAAUUAACCCCAAGCCAAAGUCUAAUGCAACUCCAAAUGAAUUUAGCCAAAGAGCACUGGAAAAAGAUAUGCUCAGUAUUUUCAAGGGCACCGCAAAGCUGACAUGAGUCCGAGCCCGGACCAUUCCUCUUUUUAAUCUGAUCAGCCGCAGGAAGUUUACGACGGUGAGCUUGCCAAAGGAAGAUCUUGAUCUUGGAAGGGAUGCGGGCAGACCAAAUGUACUUAAACUUAUCCGUGCGGGUACCAACGAUAAGUUUCAAAUACGCCGACUUUACCGAAAAACGCCCCGAAGAGGAGUGAGGCCAAACCACGUAGUCCUCUUCCUCCGAGAGCAGGGGGAAGCAGGCAAUAAGUCGAUGCCAAUCUUCCAACUCUACUGGAGAAAGAGAGCGCCGGAAAUGUAGAACCCAACCCUGAGCCGAGAGCUCAAAGAUAGAGAUCUCGGGAUCAACAUAGAACGAGAACAGAGUCAGGUGGGCCACCGCCAACGCGGUGUCCCCAACCCACCAGUCUAACCAAAAACGCGUGGACUUACCGUUACGGACAACGAACUUCACAAGGGACUGGAACGCCGGCCUAAUGCUAACCAGCUGGCGCCAGAAUUGAGAGCCACCACAGGCGGUAGCGAACAUAGGGCUGGAAGAAGGGAAAUAUUUCGCUUUUAGGAGAUUAAGCCAAGCGGGACGUUCGUCGAGGAACAUAAUCUUCCACCACCAUUUUAGCAGCAGGCAUUUAUUCAUGAUUUUGGUGUUAAUGAUGCCAAGACCCCCCAUGCUCUUAGGUCUACAAAUGAGAUCCUAUAUUUGCGUUUAUUAUCUGAGGAAUUCCAGAAGAAAGCACCCCUGUGCUUAUCGAAGCCCGAGUGCGUCCCUUCGGACAGCAGGUAGAAACCCAUAAGGAACAUCGGGAGCGAGGAGAGGCAGGAGUUGGUGAGGGAAACCUUGCCCGCUCUGGGUAUUGUACCAGCCUCGCCACGACAGAACUCUAUUGCCAACUUUAGUCACAACCGGGGCAAAAUCUUUAGCCAACAACUUAAGAGGGGAGAUGGGCAGGCCCAAAUAUUUCAGAGGGAAAGACCCGAGAGAACAGUUCAGAAGGUGUGCCACCCGCUGCGCCUCCACAUCAGAUACCCCAGUCACAAUAGCCUCGCUCUUAGAGAAGUUGAUUUUAAGGCCCGACAAAGCUUCAAAGCAUAGAAGAAUAAAUUUCAGAUUUGAGAUGGAAUGAUCAUUAAGCUCCACCAAAAUGAUGGUGUCGUCCGCAUAUUGUAAGUGAGAAAUGCCAUUAGGAAUGAGAUGAGAACUAACAGGCGAAAUAUGUCCAGCAGCCGCUGCACGAGCCAGAAUGCGGGAGAGAGCAUCAGCCACAAAGUUGAAAAGCAGGGGAGACGCCGGAUCCCCUUGUCUCAAACCCCUACCAUUCGUAAAGAAAUUACUGGUCUGCCCGUUAACAACCACCGCCGUAUGACCCCCAGAGACAAGUUGCAUCAGACGGUGGACCACCGAGCCAUCGAAACCCUUGGCCAACAACACUUGGCGAAGGAAGCUCCAACUCAUCGAAUCAUAAGCCUUUUCAAAAUCGAGCUUGAGAACCAGAGCCUUGGUGUUCUUGCUGCGAAGGUCAUGGAUAAUUUCGUGGAGGCACAACACCCCGUCCAGUAUGUAUCUUCCCUUAAUGAACGCGGAUUGGAAAGGGCUAAUGAACUGAUGAGCGAUUGGGGAAAGUUUAACAGCCAUACCCUUGGCUGGGAUCUUAGCAAAGUUGUUAAUGAGAGCAAUAGGCCUGAAUAGGGAAAUUAAGUCAGCGCCUUUGACUUUAGGGAUGAGGGUAAGGACUGCGUAGUUCAGUCUCGAGAUGUCUACAGUCCCCAACCAAAAGCCUUGAGUAAUAGCCAUGAUUAGGCCUUUUAAUUGAGGCCAGAAUCACCGGAAGAAAGGGAUGGAGAAGCCAUCAAGGCCAGAUGCUGCAUUAUAAUUGGCAGAACGAAUCGUCUCAAAAAUUCCGUCCUCCGAAGGGGGAAUUAGAAGGCUUCCAUUAUCAGCGCUCGAAAGUUGAUCACGCGGGGACCAAAAGGACGCAGCCAACUUAAAGCCUAGCUCAGGUUUAGUCGCUAGAAGGGUAGAGAAGAAGGAGACCACAUGCCGCAAAAUCACCGGUGGAUCAGAAGUCCUGACCCCAUCAAUAACAAGGCUAUCAAUAAAGCACCUACGCCGUCUACCAUUGGCAAUAGCAAAGAAAUACACCGUGGGCAAGUCCCCCUUGAGGGUCCAGUUGAUAGUACCGCGUUGUUUCCAGUAAAUUUCCUCCUGCCUAUGAAUGGCCAACAACGCCUUUUCUAGACCAUAUCUGGAAUGCCAUUCAUCCGGGGACAACCCAACUAAAUCCGCACGUUCGUCUAGAACCCCAAUCUGAGCCACCAGCCUUGCUUUGUUGCACCUUGACUUAGCAUAGUGAUUUUUGGACCAGCCUUUAAGGAAUCUACGCAGAAAAUAAGAGCAUUGAUGCCAGUCAUCCAUCGGGCCAAAAGACCGACGGUUCGAAGAAAGGAAGGACAAAAAUUUUUGAGCCACCAAACCAUUGAAGCCCUCGACUUGAAGCCAGGAAGCAUCAAAAUGAAACCUCGAUAAACCCAUAGGGCGUAAACCAUCAUCUAGAAUCAGAGGUGUGUGAUCAGAGCAACACAGGCAAGGGCCUUAAGACUAGCAUUAGGAAAGAGAGGGUCCCAUCUCAGGCAAACAAAAACUCUGUCAAGAACUGAGCGAAUGGGGGGGGGGGUGUUGAUGAUUAGACCACGUGUACCGGGCUCCGACCCUAGGUAUCUCACGAAUAGCCAUAUCCCUAAUGAAGGCAUUGAAUGCAUCAGCCAAGGGCCACGAGAAGUUAGGAGAGCUCUUGUCGGAGGGACAUCGAAGCAGAUUAAAAUCACCCCCAAUCAACAGAGGGAGCUGGCAAGAUUCAAUCUUAAUACUAAGCUCAUCCAAAAAAGCAUACGACAUAGCAUGGUCACCCGGACCAUAAACCACUAAAAUUUCCACCAAGGAGUUGAGAGAUCGAAUGGAGACCACCGUGCUAGCCCAAAAAAUGCCAUGGUCGAAAGCCACGAAAUCAAAAGUAUCUUUUUUGGUACCAAGUAAAAGCCCGCCCGAGUGACCAGCCGAGGCCACAUAAUUCCAAUGGAAUCUGUCUAUCCCAGCAAUAGCCGAUAAUUCACUAGCAGAAAAGGAAGAUUUGAAAGUCUCGACAAGGCCAAUAAAAUCUACAUUCUCAGAUCGAACUAGGUCCUUAAGUUGGUCUCUGCACCCCCUAGCACAGAAGUCUCGACAAGUUUUUGAUACGGAGACUCGACCUGCUCGGGGCUACGCAGGAUUUUGAUCGUUUCCCUACCCCGCGUUUAGAGACCUUCGGGGGAGCAUGACUCCUAUCAUCUCCCCCCUCGUCCCCACCAGCCACCACCAGUGGGGCGCCCGAUCCCUCCCUGGCCUCCUUUGCUUUCGCAAUAUCAGCCUGAGCGAUAUCGUUCGCCCUAAUGAUACCAAGAAUAGAAGAAGGAGAACCCAAACUAGAAUCUAAACAAAUACCCACAUCAUUUAAAAUAUUAAGCAAGUGAUCAUCCGAUUGAGAAGGGAGAACUAAACAAACAGGAGAGGGAAUCGGGGGGGGGGGAGGGGAAGGGAGGAAAGGACGAACCUGCAGAGGGCAGAUCCCGAGCCGCCGCACGCCGAGCAGCCCGAUCGACCACCCGCUCACCACUGUUGGAGACACGGCCCCUCUUGCGAGCCGUGGACGCAGGCGACCGCAUAGGAACGAGCCGCGUGCGACUGGGAGAAGCCACAGAAGACGGACCCGAGGCCAUACCUAAAUCAGCCUCCAGCCGUCGGCAAAACCCAGCCGCAGACUGCCUAGAGUCACCAGAGGCACGACUCUUGGCGGAGAACUUCUUGACCGAGGAUUUCUUCUUCUUUUUGAGCGCCGCAGGACCCGCCGGGGGAAGAUCUUCAAUGCCUGACAGGGAGGGAGAGGCAGGCGAGUAGGGAGGUUGGAGCACAUCGCCGAGAAUGCCGUGCCCUUGGUCCCACCAGCAGCCGCCUCCUCCCCACCCAGAUCCGGCGCCGAGCCCUGGACCCCCUUGCCAGCAGGCGCGCUCUCCUUGAGCAUGACCUGAUCUUCAGGAGAGAGGCCAUCCCACUCCGACUGGGUGAACAGUGGAUGAGACCCGCGCAUGGAGUCAUCGGGGCAGCCAUCCCCCUCCUUGCUCUUGUCGCCAUUGUCAGAGGCCGGAGGCGGGGGAGGAGGAGGAGGCGACACCGGGCCUGAGGCCCCCUCCACCCUCACACGGAGCCGGAAGCCACCAGCCGCAGGGAAGACAUCGAGGGAGCCAUGAAUGCACAGGGGGUCGACGCACCAGACCCGGAGCCGGGACGGCCCCAGGAUCGCCAAAGAAUCUUGGUCAACAUCAAUGGGUUUGCCAAUAAGAACUCCGAAGGCCAUCAGGAAAGCCGUGGUACGCAUGCUCGGAGGGACAUCUUCUACCAGCACCCACACAUCAGACAAGGAAGAGAUAGACUUGGAUCCAUUAGAGGCCGCUUUUACCGAGACCACGAGUUGAUUCAGAGGCAAAGUGAAGCUAGAGCAAGAAGAUAUCAUCUGGAGGCUCUCUUUAGAGGGGAAAGUCGCUGCAAACUCGAAUUCAGAGAGUUGGCGGAUUUGCCAAUCCCAUCCACCCUCGUCCCAUAACUUAAGCUCAUCGAGAAGGAUCUGAGGAGAGAUGCGUUUAUCCUGGACGGAGAUAAUGCCAACAUUGGACAGGGAAGGGAUGGGGGCAGCCUCAGGGAUCUCCCUAUCAAGAGCGAAGAACGAGCAUCCAGGAAGACCGGUGCCAUAAUGAACAAACGAAGGAGGCUUGACGCGAUUCUAACAGUCCACCGUAAGGUCGCCGUCUUCCCGGCAGAUGAGGCAGAAGGGAGGGUUUUCACACCGUGAUUGGAAGUGGCCAGGUCGAUGACAUGCAAAGCAAGUGAGGAUGGGGUUGGAGACUUGGGAUUGGGGAGGGAUGCGACCAUGAGGAGGAGGAGGGAGGAUGCCAUCCCCAGCCGCAGCAGGCCCAGAGCCGGAGCCCCGCCCCAUCAUGGUGCCGACGAGACGCCGAGACGGAGCCCCCGCUGCGCCUCUGGGGAAGAAGCGGGAUGACCCGCCCCCAGCCUGAGCCCGCACCGGAGCGCCACCCCGGGAAGCAGCACCCAGCGGAGGGGGCGCCAGAGCGGGCCCCGACGAACCCUCUCGACUGGUCGCCGCCGCCACCUCCCAGGGAUCGGCCGCCGCCGAAGGAGCAGCAGAGGCAGGGAGAGGGGGCGCCGACGGACCCGACCCGGAAGCAUGAGGAGACACACCAACGGACACCGCCGCCGACCCCGCUUCCGGAGCGAUCGAGGCCUAAAGCUUCGCGCGGAGAGCCGCCUCAUACUCCAGAUCCGCAUCCACAUGGCCAGAUCCCCCAUGGCCCCACUUCUGCCCAGAGAUCGCCUCACUUGAGGACGCACGAGAGCGACACCACCACAACAAAGGGGAGGGAAAGGGGAGGAGGGGGAGUAGAUCUGCCGAAGCGCCGGAUUGGGAAACGGUGGCGGAGCAGAUCUGAAGAGGAGGCAGGAAAACCUAGGAAUGGGGGAGCCGCACCUCUCCGCACCCAUAAGUACCCCGACCGAGCCAGGCCCGAACCGGUACACGGCCUAACAUAAGAGGUGGGCUGGACCUGGGCCGCCCGCAGCCCAGGGUCCACAGAAGGAAGAGGGGGGAAUUCAGAAAGAGACGCCAGGGCCAAGGCCAAAACCGGCCCACCAGGCCCAGUAGCACCCACCGGGGCCCGCACCACAGGAAGGGGCAACAGCGCCGCCCCCGCAACCAGAUCUAGGGUUGGGACCGGCAACGGCGCCGCCAUCGCAGCGGAGGACGAACUCGCAGGCGUGCCAGCUCGCGAACCCACCGGGGAGGGCGAGGCCGACACCGGCGAAGACCGCAGCGAAUCCAAACACGGGGACCAGCACGAAGCAUGACGCCGCCCGCGCGAGACGUGGUGCCACCCGUUCGGCUCCACUGAAGGCCGGACUGGCCGCCCCAGCCCACCGGGCGCAAACUUGCGCCGGCGAGCGGCCGCCGCAGCCACGGGGGGAGAGCACGUCGGGGACGAGCGCGGUGGGGGAGAGGAAGCCUCAGAAUCCGAGUCGGAGCCGUCCGAAUCUAGAGCCCAGAACUUGUUAGUCCAAAGAGGGGCGAUGAGAAUAGAGCGAGGAGUCGAGGCCAGAGAGCAAGAGGGUGAUGCGCGGGGAGCCGGAGCGAAGCCCGGAGGAGAGCGCGGAGGCGAUGGGGAGGAGGAGGAUGCACGAGGCCGGGGCGCCGCCGGAGCUUCGCCAGUCACCGGAGACACCGCGAGGGGGAGGGGGGGAGGGGAGGGAGGAGCCAUCCUAUGUCUUCAAUUCUCCCGCAUCACCCUGUGCCCGCUCUUCUCCACGCAUGGGAGCCACUUGAUCCACGCGAGCACCUCUCGGAGGAUGAAUUUGAUGGCGUAUUGAGUUUAAGACACCCCUCACCAAACUAACAUUUGUUAAGUGUCUGAUCUUCUAUUCACGGGCAAUAAACGGUGGAACGAGAACCUUAUGUACAAGUAUUUGAUAUCCUUUGUACCCAAUAUGUAUCUUAGCAAAUUUUUGGCUAUGACCACAACUUUGAUUUUCAUUUGGUUGGUUGCAACUGUUUGGCAUGCCGAUGGCUCCUUCCCAACUUUACUUCAUUUUAGUCAAAGUUGGCAAACUCACAGGCACACAAAACCUUGACCAAUAUUUUGGCUAGCCAAACAUUUGAUGGGGAAACUCUACACUCAAACAAAACAAAUUCUAUGUUACUAAUUACUAUUCAGUUACCACGCCAUCGCUCAAUCAAAUCAAUGAGAUUCAUCCACAUCAUUUUUGCCGUGGUGACUUGUCCCGCUGCUAUAUGCUCUUUUACUAUUGCCGCCAUUCUGCAAGUGACAUAUCAAAUCAGGGCAUGCAAUUAGAGAUGGAGGCAAAUAACAUGUUGCGGAUUUUUACCCGUUGAGAGGGCAAUAGCUUUGUCGCUCAGCCUCGACACAUCUUGCAAUAGUUGCUGAUAUAAGAGCUGAAAGGAUCCAAAGCAUUGGUUGGAAAUAUCGAGCUUUUUGCGUGGAAAAUGGAAUUGCUUUGAUCAUCGAGGAGAGACUCAAACAGAUUAAAUGAUUUACUUUCUGCAAAAUCACCUGGUGAGAUCCAGCCUAUCCCUAAGCACGACACGACCUAGUCUUAGCUCGAGGGUGCCGACAUGGAUUGCCUUUACCACGGAGAUACCGAUCUUGGCUCGAAGCCUGGCACCCAAAGGCUGGUCGAGAAUGAUUAACGGACUGCUCCAGGAUCAUGCAUGGUGGAGUUUCUCUUAGUGUGCUUGUAUGAGGUACUCUGUUUNNNNNNNNNNNNNNNNNNNNNNNNNNNNNNNNNNNNNNNNNNNNNNNNNNNNNNNNNNNNNNNNNNNNNNNNNNNNNNNNNNNNNNNNNNNNNNNNNNNNNNNNNNNNNNNNNNNNNNNNNNNNNNNNNNNNNNNNNNNNNNNNNNNNNNNNNNNNNNNNNNNNNNNNNNNNNNNNNNNNNNNNNNNNNNNNNNNNNNNNNNNNNNNNNNNNNNNNNNNNNNNNNNNNNNNNNNNNNNNNNNNNNNNNNNNNNNNNNNNNNNNNNNNNNNNNNNNNNNNNNNNNNNNNNNNNNNNNNNNNNNNNNNNNNNNNNNNNNNNNNNNNNNNNNNNNNNNNNNNNNNNNNNNNNNNNNNNNNNNNNNNNNNNNNNNNNNNNNNNNNNNNNNNNNNNNNNNNNNNNNNNNNNNNNNNNNNNNNNNNNNNNNNNNNNNNNNNNNNNNNNNNNNNNNNNNNNNNNNNNNNNNNNNNNNNNNNNNNNNNNNNNNNNNNNNNNNNNNNNNNNNNNNNNNNNNNNNNNNNNNNNNNNNNNNNNNNNNNNNNNNNNNNNNNNNNNNNNNNNNNNNNNNNNNNNNNNNNNNNNNNNNNNNNNNNNNNNNNNNNNNNNNNNNNNNNNNNNNNNNNNNNNNNNNNNNNNNNNNNNNNNNNNNNNNNNNNNNNNNNNNNNNNNNNNNNNNNNNNNNNNNNNNNNNNNNNNNNNNNNNNNNNNNNNNNNNNNNNNNNNNNNNNNNNNNNNNNNNNNNNNNNNNNNNNNNNNNNNNNNNNNNNNNNNNNNNNNNNNNNNNNNNNNNNNNNNNNNNNNNNNNNNNNNNNNNNNNNNNNNNNNNNNNNNNNNNNNNNNNNNNNNNNNNNNNNNNNNNNNNNNNNNNNNNNNNNNNNNNNNNNNCCAUAGUGAUUCUCAAGAAUCCGUAGAACAAGUAAAUUCAGUUAUCUACAUUGAUUCAGAUGUGUCAAGCCUAUGUUCUCCUCCUAUGCUUCAUUCUUCAAGGUGUUGCUGUUGCUGCUGAUAGAGGCGAGAUAUAUAUGGGGCUACGUUGAAAUUUGUCACAGUAAGUAUCCGCUCAUAAUAGCAGUCUUUAUAUCAUGUUUGGUCUUCUCAUCCUUCUGUUUUUCCAUUUACUACUACAGCCUCAACAAAGCCUCACCUUCCAUGCAGUACAAUUUAUUACUUCUCCCUAUAGUUGAUCCAAUGCCAAAAGACAAACACAAGAAGGCUAGAGCCAAAAUACUCAAACUUCUAGCACCCAGCAACAUCUGGUCACCGCGCAGCGCUGGAUCCGCCUCCACCGGACUAAUAUAUCCUCUGUUUCUGAUCUUUUUAAUCGGCUAGAUUAGUGAUAGCGGCAGUUCUAGUGGAGUGAUAGGGCUAGGCGCCGACAAGCAAUUGUUGUUUAGGCCAGGUCUUCUUGGAGGAGACAUAUAAAGCCUCGAGCGUAGACUCCCUGUACCCCACUCUACAAAUCCCAGAGACAUCUUGGUGAGAGCAUCAUAGCUCGAGACACCAUCAGUGACUAGGCCAUCGACCACCCCACUGUCAGUAGGAAGGGAGAGGUGAGAACCAUUGUGAUCUGCUGUGAGACCUAUUUCAGAGUUUCCAACGGGUUCUCCCUGAACAAUAUCAUCCACUUCUUGAGUGCCAAGUAAAUCUGCCACCAUAUAUGUUUAACAUCAGACCACAUUAUAGAGUUUCUGUAGUUCCACAUGCGAUGGAGUAUUAAAAUAUAGGGUAUGUUCUGCUCGACCGUAGUGGUUUGGUUAAAAGAAAGUCACGAUGUCAUGGUAAAAAUAUGAACCCAAAGAUGUAAAAAAUUAUAGGAGAUCCCCGAGGAGGGCCCUAACGUCAUCCAUGACGCACACGGGGGCUGCCUCCUUGAGCUGGUAGGACACACGUCGGCCAGCGAAGCUGGCCUUGCUGCACACUCCACCGGCCAAGUCUUGAAUACCUGACAAGGCUACUAGCUUAGCCCAGUACAGGGCUACACUUAGGGCCAUCAUCAUGACGGCCUGUGAGGCACGAGGCAAGACGGGACGACGACCAUAAAUAAAGGCAUCAGGGUGGUGCGGCGCGUCACGUCCGGCGCAGUGUCAGGUUAUCUCCUGACUGAUCGACAGAGGCAAGUGGACGAAGCGCGACGAAUAUCCUCCUUUGUACAACGUACUAUAUUUAUUAACAUGACCAAGUGUGGUACCCCCGGAUCUAUAUAAGGGGAGGGCCGUGGUUGAAUAGAGGAGAACUUUUGCAUACUCUAGCAACCCCACUCCCUCAUAGGAGUGCUGAUAGAGGAGAGAAGGUACAGAGAGAAGAUACAAAGGUGUUUAGGCACUCUAGCUAGUGCCCCGACCACCUCCUAUGACACCCUGACCACCUCUUUUGUACACCCAAACACUUGUAUCCUUGAGCUUAUGUGAAAUUAGAUAAUGCCCCGCGCGUUCCUGAGGAUUUUUUCAUAAAUAUUUUGAGGAAGGCCAGGAUCCAAACUUAUGUGCCAAAUCUCUACAUGUGACUUGCACAUUCUACAAUACCGACGAUCUACAUUAACAUAAGGUCAAGAGGCCAACAUAUGCAUCACAAUAGAGGUUUGCAGAAAAAGUACUGAUGAUAUAUAUGUACUUUUGUAUGACUCAAAACACCUAGAAGUAUGAGAAUGUUUCUCAUUUACAAUAGGGUGAUGAUUAUUAAGGGGGAUGUGGAUAUGGUCCGGGCAAGAAUUUUUUGUUGGAGAUUAGAAUUUUAUCAAUUCAACAUGUACGAUAUGAUUUCUCACAUACAUUUGCACGGACCAUAGAUGUUUUUUUAAACAAAAGGUAAUCCGACCUCUGCAUCAUCAUGAUAGAUGAAUAGUAGGUGCGCACCCAUCGUUAAAGUGAAGUGUGCAAAAUUACCCAAUUGUAUCAUCGUACAUGAACUGUCGUAUUCUUUAGGAUUGGUGAAGAAUCACCCUCUUCGGAGCAUCGCAUAACCGGUUGAAAGAAGAAUGAGCAUAGUCUGCAAGAUGUAAAACACAGGUAGCAAAAUUUGUGUGUAGUUUCUGUAUCAUAUACUCCUUGAGUAUAAGAUCUGAAAGGAGCAAAGUGCUACUUGCAUGGUUAAUAAAGGGACUACCUUGCACAACAUGGGAGGCCAGCUCGGUCAGGCAGUGGGCGACGUACAUGACCCUGACAUCGCGUACAUGCGGUGAGACCAGGGAAGUCGUGGCAGCGGCGAGACGGCGGCCAACAACGUGCGGAGCAAGCAGGGCCGGCCCUGAGGGGGGGCAGGGGGGGCGGCCGCCCCGGGCCCCCAACAUCGAGGGGCCCCCUCUCAAGUAUGCAAGUAGCCCAGGGAUUCUCCCCAAAAAAAGAAGCGACUAGGACUGGGUCGUAGCAUGGCUUCAGGCCUUUUGCAUGUUCAGCUUCAUAUGGCCCAAGUGGAUUGCUGGGCUAGGUAGUCAUGCAUGUACGCAUUAUUUCUCGGAAACAAAAACGCAUGCACUAUGGCUGAUCGAUUAGAUCAGAUCAGAUCAGAUCAGCUCGAAGAGGGGCAAUGUAUCACGCACGGCGUUGGCGAUCGAGGGAACGAAUUCCGCUUCAGGCCGAACGCCCUUGCCAUCACCUGAUCGCCGUCUAGUCUCGCCUCUCGCGACCUUCAUGCGCAGCAGUAGCCAAGAGACGAGAGCGGACAAGGCCUGCUUAGACUGGAUCAGAAUCUAUCAGUUGAUUUUUAAAUCCGUGUUCUACAGCUCUAAGGUAGCCUAUCUGGUAGUCCCUAGUUCCUAAAUUUGUUGUUUGUUAAUUGAAGUCGAUGCCCAGAAUUGUUUUUCACAAUCCAAUCAUUGGAUAGGAUUAGUGUGUUGAAAACUGCACUAUCUGUGCUUCAUUUAAAGAUGACACAAAAAUUAAUUUUGUAAUUGUUGUGGAUUGCAUUCCAAUCGAACCCAAUUUGCUCAGUUUGGAUUAAUGGUUGCUGAGGUAUCACCAGAAUGGUGCUGCUGUACAAGUAUUUUCAAAGUUGAGCAGAUAUUGUUUUUGCGACUUUUAACAAAUUUCUAUUCGCAAGAACUAGUCUAUAUUCAGAUAUGACCAGUUUCUUAUUACAACAUGCAUGAAAGACGUAGAUAACUUCAUGUUGAAUAUCCUGAUUUGCUUAUUUUCUUCAUUUUGUAAAAUGGAUCAUGAUUUGUAGCCUAGAAAUUCAUAUAUGACGUGCUUUGGAGUUCAAAUUAAAUGGAGAAUCCAAGCUAUGCUUGUAUAUUUACCUAAUAAUAAUUAAUGGGCUAGCUCUAGGAGAUAUUUAUACAUAUACUAUUAGGUAUUAGGAUGUUCAAGAGCCAAGAACAAUACAUAAAAAUUUUAUGUUUAUAUUAAAGGGGCCUCGGGUUUUACUUUCGCCCCGGGCCCCCGAAUUGUCAGGACCGGCCCUGGGAGCAAGCAGCAAGGGAUCAUCGGCUCCGGUGGCGAUGAUAGGCGGCACUGGUGAGACAGCGAACGACAACGCAUGAAGCAAGCAGUAAUGGAUGGCCGUCUCUCGUGGCGAUGAUCCGCAUCAGCGGCUGUGGGACGGCUAAUGACGACAUGCAGAGCAAGCAGCAAGGGAUCGCCGCUCGCCGGCUCCAUCAUGAUGAUCUUCGGCGGCGGUGAGACAGCCGAUGACGACGCACGAAGCAAGCAGCAAGGGACCGCCGUCUCUCACAGCGAUGAUCUGCAAUGGCGGUGAGACGGCUGAUGACGACGCACGGAGCAAGAAGCAAGGGAUCGUUGUCUCCCCCAACGAUCAUCUUGCCUUGGCGCUGGGAGCGGUUAGCGCGGUCGCAGGGCGACCUUCAACAGCAUGACGAAAAACGUGGAGAGCUCGGUGGCGGCAUGGGUGAUCGCCACUGUUCCUGGUGCUGCUCGGUGUUGUGUUCUUCCUCCGGGACUUGAUGCAUUUAUUUCCGGUACGUGUGCAUGGCUAUCCAAUUUAAAAGACAACAACCACGGAAAUGCAUAACUCUUGGACUUCGGACCUACCUUUCGUGCUCCGCCUCCUAUUAAAGUGCCUCAGUCAGUGGGUUACCCUCCUUUCUUAUUUUAGUGGCUGUUAAUGUCAGAUAUCAUAAAGAAUAUUACCACAUUAGGAUUGAGUUGUUUUGUUCUUCUAUUUUCCAGUAAGCCCUAUGAUAUAUAACCUAUCGGACAGCCCUAGAUCUGAUGCUAUGUAGAUCAAGGUUAUUUCUAAUUACCCACGAGACUCCGACAGAGUAUAUCAUGUGGAAUUUCUUGUUCUUAUAGUUAGGAUGAACCGUUGCAACAUCGUCUCGCAAUAAAUAAUUGUGCAAAAAAAUUAUGAUCAUUCACAAUAAUAUUGGAUCUCGAAACCAUGACUUAUUACAUAAUCAGUUUAUUCACUCUACAUAAAGCAGCGGACUCAUAGAGACACAUGCAUAUUGGAUAGUACAUUAUAUGGAAGGCGUGCAUGCAUCCCUAACCGAUCACACCCUUAGUUGCACCUGGGGCUCUGCACGAUUGCUAACCGGAAAUGACUGGUCGAACGUGGCUGCAUGCUCACUACCAGUAAACCUAAGCUUGUCACCAACACGUUGAACCGUAUGGAAUGCAAGAAAAUCCCACUCAAACUGGAUCCUGACGCCGCCCCAAUUGAGUAAUGGAUCCGGGCUGGAUAACCCCACUGACUAUGCUGUCAAACCGAAUCUUGUGUGAUCCACCGGCAACUGUAACGUUGAAGUCGCACGAGGCGGGGAGGGUCACCUCAACGGCACCCCCAUCAUGGUUCACGUACGACUUCACGCCCAGAGGCAAGAGAGCCCGCAGGAAGUUGUUUUUCGCCAACAGGUCGUAUGCUGUGUCGGAGGUGGCCGCUUGGAGGAUGGAAGCCAUGAAUACGAUGAGGAGCAGAUGCUGGAUGGCCAUGGCUAGCUAACUGUUGCUGCUUACAAAUUGUAUCAAGGAAUAUGAGGAACUGAGAAGUGUAGACUAAGGCCUUGGCCACGUAUUAUAUAUGCUGCCCAACGAAAUCAAAGUCAAUCGUGCUUUAAUUGCAUUUAUUUUGUUCCUGAUUGUCACUCCAUCAACCGCCUCAUCAAAUAUGCUAAAAAUAUCAUCCCAUUAAAUCAUAUUUAUUUUGGCCUAGAACAUUCUAUAGUUAAUGGUUAUGCCAAAACGUUCCUCAAAUCUUCAUAAUCAAUACGUACCAUAAAAUGAGACUGAAAUUUCAGAGCAACAUUCAUUUACGUACUUCACAGCCGACAUAUGAAACAUAUGCAAAAACCUAAAAAUGAAUCAAGGGGAAACAUCAACAUCCCAACAGUUUGAUCCUUGAUGUUGGCUUGGGUACCAAUGAGGCUUCUCUUCUCUUCAAAUAAUGUUGUGCAGUGCAACUAAAACAUAAAACACCCGCAAGAAAGAAAUAUUUCAUUUAGAUAUACUUGAGUUUUACAUGAGUAUGCGGUGCAAUAGAAUGAUUAUCUCCCAUUGUGCAGAUCAUCUCUUUCAGGAUGCCUACUCAGGCCAGCACAGACUCAUACAUAACAUCUCCGUCAAAGUUUCCACACUGUUAUAGCAUGAACUCCCAGACCGUGAGAGAGGCUCAGUACCCAUAUCCAAAAUGAAGAGUGCGGAGGAGCAGGUGCCUACCCCUCCACCUUCCACUUCUCUUAAAAUUUUCCUGUGCAAUGCAACUAAACUAAAAAACAACUCCAAGCAAUAUAUUCAAUUUAGAUCUUGUUGGGUUAUGAUAGGUCUCCAACGUAUUUAUAUUUUUUUAUUGUUCCAUGCUAUUAUAAUUGUUGGGUCAUGAGCCAAAAGCAAGCCAUCGAACAUGCCAGUGUUGGAUUGGAUGAGAUUGUCGACCGCCUGAAGGAGGUUCUCAUCGUGAUCCUUGAAGAGCCGGUCCAGACCUACGGUGAAAUACGCUCGUUGAAGCGCGUACACGCCGCACCUUUCCUCGGACGGCUUGUCCAUCGCCUCCGCUCACGGCCGAUCACGCCACCGCGUCCCGUGAUGGUGUCGCGGCAACUCCAGGACCACUUAAUCUUAUACCAAUUGUGAGCAACUCACCUGAUCGAGAGGAAUUGCUAGGGAUUAGAAUUCGAAAUUGCGGAAAUUGGUUCGUUAGCUAGCCGUCCGUCCACCCUCACAGCUACACUACACCGCCUGUUGCCAUCAUCCAAAUCCCAGCCAGGAGAUAGGAGAGAAUUAUAAUUCCUACUAGCUUAGCCCGCGCGGCGACACGCCGCGCCCAUCGAUCAGUUACGACUAUGUAGACUAUGGUCCAAGCAAUAGAGUAAUAAGUAGUUAUGAUGAAAUUUGUUGCACGACUUGAGGCUUUUUAGCAAAUUGUUUUGUUCACAACAAUUUAUAGACACAAAUAUCUAUCUUUCAUGGAAACUUUUAGUUUAUUUUGUACAUAGCAAGGGUCUGUUCACCAAGUUGAAACAAAUACACAACAUGACCAAAAGUAAGGAACUUCGAAACAAUGCUUUUGUAGCUAAAAUUUAAUAAUUUUUCACAUUUCAUAACAUAAAUACUUAACUAAAACUUACAUCUGAUCCGAAGUACAACCAUUGAGACAGUAAAAAAACAACUAUUUUGAUCAUCACAAAAAAAUUAAUGUGCAUUUCAUGGAAAAAGUUUAGAGACAAAAUAAUUUAGCCAAGAGAAAAACUAUUUCAGAUCACAAAAGGCGCUCCAAAGAGUAAUUGUGUAUAUUAUUCAAAAUAACACUUUGUUACCUUCAGAGGCUUUAAUUAGCCCCAUUGCAUCUUGUGGAAUCAUGCAGUGAUACAAAUUCUUACCAUAAACAACAAAAUUAAGCAGCUCUUAAUAUAGAAACAACCAUAUCACUCUGAAUCAAGGGAGCAUGAUGCGAUGAACUGAUGAUGGGGAAUCUAUGGUAGCAUAUACCCAGGAAACAGUGUUCAUGGAAACUUUGUUAAACAACCCCUUGCUCAGCUUAAAAGUAUUCCUUCCUGGGUCUCCACUAAAACAAAGCAAUAUUUAUACACCCACAUGUGAGAACAAUAUGAGCCAUUGUUUGAUAUAAAACCAACAAUGCUUGAACAUACUUGUUUCUCUACCUCACCAUGUGGCGGCCAGAAAAAGCUUUAACAAAUUAAAAACCACUUGCAAAUUGAAGUUGAGAGUCUUCACUUAUUUCUCGAAAUGGAAGGAGGAAGGGGCCUUAAUUUGUCCCAGUAACCCCAUGAAUAUAAUUAGCCAAAUAUGCGGCAUUUCAUCUUAUUACACGGUCAUGCUGAAGGAGGGAACAUCAAUAAAAUUAGGCAUAAGAAAUCCAUCAAAUGAAGAGAGAUGUACUUAGAAAUAAGAAUAACAAACAUUCUCAGAUACUAUGUACCUUAUCCUGCCUCUAAGAAUAUGUCAAGAAGGUGAAUCAUUCACUUUUAUGUUACCGUUGCUGACAACGGACAACUGUGGAUGGAAACAAAAUUCUCGGCAAUGCAUAUAUGAAACUAAGUAACAUGACUUAGAAAAUAUAAUGUAAAAUAUCACAAUAAACUACUACUAAGUAUGUUCAAUAGUAAUACAACCUCAGUUUGUACCCCGGAAAUUUCUAUCACCAAAACAUCUUAGAAAGUUUAGUGCCAGUGAUGUGCCUGCCAUAAAACCGAAUGCCAAUUUUCAGUUAAAAAAUAACCGCGCAAGACCAUAUUCUUCUGCCGCCAAGGGUAUAUGAUCGAGUGGGGCCAACUAAAGACAGGCCCCACGAUUCCAUUUUUUAAUGUAUGUUGUUGUAUAAUGAAUGACGGGCUUGUAUGCUUACAUGACUAUUUGGUUUUUGAUGUGAUGAAAAUUGGAGGGAAAGAUGCUGGACGGACUAAUUUGAUCAAUCAGGUGAGUAGAAGUAUUAGAGUUUUGGCCAUCUCAUCCAUUAAAUUUGGAUGGAGGGUAUGCAUCUUAAUAUGAUAAACAUAUAUGCAUACCGUAUAUGGGUUAUAUACAUAUAAAAAUCAGUGCAGCAGGCCUUUUUUCUGAAUCUAAACAUCUUGGUGGCCGAGUUCCAGUGUGAAAAUAUUGGUUUUAGUCCCUGGUCAAAUGGACUGAUGCAUAUUAUGUUUGGUUGUACCACAAAAAAUAAUUUGGUUGCUUUAAGAUAUUCAACCGAGGUAGACGAUGCAAUUUUGGCUGACAUGAAGUUUUACGAUCAUCAAUACAGCAGAAUAUGCAAAAGAUGGGAUAAAGCAAGUCAUAUCUACUCCCUCAGUCCCAUAAUAUAACAACGUUUUUGACACGACGGAGGGAGUAGUUUGUUUAUUUGUUUGAGGAACACUUAUUUGCUUGGAGAAUAAUGAAGUGUGCUUGCACCGGUAGACAUGAGAUGAACUUGAACAAACGAUCUGCAUUCAUAUAUGCAUUGUACUAGAAAUCAGUGCUGCUCUGACUUGCCUCUGCAUUGCCUCUGAACCAGUGUUGAUCUAUAUCGGAGAUCAGGAAUUUACUCAUCAGGUCACUGCAUCUACUUUAUUGCGAUUAAACCACCAAACUCAAAGAAAUACCAGCAAUUUAUUUAAUAGUCUUAUUUGAUUUUUUAUUCAGAACGCAUUGAGCUAUUUCUUUUUCCAAGCUACAUUCUUGUACAUUGGAUUCUCAAGGAGCAUCACUUGCGAGACAUGUCUUCACAUACUACCAUUUCAGAACACCACUCCCUUCACGCACAGGACAUACAUGUUCUACAUCCACCCCUCACACUCCUAAUUUCAAACCGAGUUGGCAGGCUAUUGUAAGGAAGGUAAGCAACCUUCUAGAUGGAAUAUUGGAAUUUACUCUGGCAAGGUAGGUCUUAAACAUAUUAUCAUCUGGCUAUCUACUGUUUGAGCUCCCCAUGCUGCUAACACCAUCAAAUAUUGUUUGCUCCGUACAUCUUCAUAUGCCAAUUUGACCUUUUUUUGGCAGACACAGUAUCUCAGAACAUCUAAAUUGACUCCUUGCAUAGGUCUCUGAAUUGACACAAUCAGAAGGAUAAAACAAUCGCUAGAGCUCUUAUAGGAAGUCACCCAUCAUUUGACUUAGACUAAAGAAGGUGUCUAUCAGAAAAAAAGGAACAAAAAGUAAGUGCGAAGAAACACAUGUAGGGUUGCACAUAAUUUGUAAGAGAUGAUCAAGGCAUAUAGUUGCAGCAAGUAGCAAAUGGCAUGAAUUUAUUCAUGAUGCACUCACGCAUCAAGGGUGUAAAUCUUCUUUAGCUAGGUCCAAAUGCAGAUAGAUACAGUACAGGAAUGAUGUGUGAUAUGUCAUUGUAGGUUUCAGACCUAAUGAAAAGUUUAUUACAGUACAUGAAAAAUAUUCAUGAAACGGUUAUACAGUACAUGAAUGAUGAGAAAUCGGAAAUUUCUGUACAGGAGUGCUGUAUAAUAAAUUGCUGAGAGGAAUAAAGAAGAUGCAGAAUGUCUGAAACUUCUCAAAACCAGAAACAAUUAUACAAAAGCUACCUGACCGAGUAUACGGCUAGGAAUCUGCCUAAUUCAGUGUCUCUUAUAACCCGCCAACGACUACGGCGUAAUCACCAUCACUGCGGCUCAACCAGAAUUCGAUCGAAUAAUGAGGCAAAUGAAGUAGCUAAUAUGGGGUAAAUGCACACUAACUUGGCAGCAAGAACAGAUGGGUCGUAAGCGCCUUCAGUGACCCUACGACCUGCAAAUGGCAGUAUACAGACAGUACGCCUUUACUCCGAAUAACCGAGGAGGAGCUGUCCUUAUCCUCUUUUUUUGCGGGGGAGCUGUCUUUAUCCUCCACUCAAGCUAGCUAUACUUACAAAGUUAGAGCUAUAUAAAGUUUUGAAGCGUAGCGCUGUGAAUGGAUCACUCGUCCAGCAGCCUCCUGACACAUAAAAUAGGCAGAGCGAGCAUUACAAGGUCCCAUAACUCGGGGUCAGGCUUCUCGAACACGAUGACGCGCACCACCGUGCGCCACGCCGACGCCAGGUAGUAGAGCGCGGGCCUCUUACACUUGUUGUGCGCCAGGGGCUUCAUGUUGAAUGCGCGCGCCUUGUAGUCGGCGGGCCAGUACCAGUUCAUGAACGUCCGCGCCGGCAUCUGCAUCUCCCGCGCCAGCACGACGCCCUCGGCACCAUCACCACGAACCCCCAUGCCACUGACACCAUCCACCAGUUCGCCGCGAUGUAGCAUAUCGACUGGUGCAUCACCCCCGUCGAACAGCCUCCGCAGAGACGCCGGGCGCAAACGCACGUUGGGGAUAAGCGGUCGAGGUGGUGCAGCGAGUCAGCGACACCAGCGGUGCCACCUGGUGGGCGGCGAGGAGGCCCAGGAGGUCACCAUACACGCCUUACUCGUGGAAGCCCGAGUGUCGGCACUCCCAGCUCCGCCAUGCCCCAUGCACGAUGUAGUAGGGGACGGCGAGGAGGUUGUCCGGGAGGAAGACCGUGUUGUCGACUUGUCGUCACCCAUGACGAACCAGCGUACACCUGGGAGACUGACGCGGAAGGUCUCAGAGAUGACGGUCGACGUGUGAGAUGCAUGCGGAUGGCAGAGCGAUGACCGUGCGUGUAGGAGAAACCGGAGGUAUCCGGUAAGAUCUUGAUGUAUAUGCACUCCUUCCGCUUCUCCAACAGGCGCGCCAACGCCGUGAAGCCGAACACUGCAGCGUAAUCGUCGUUGUCGACACCGUGGCCGUGGCAGGUUGCGGUGGUGGUGGCGUACUCGUCGUCAACACCACCGUAUCUGUGGAGGGUGGUGGUGGCAUCCUCGCCGUCGACACCACCGUGACCGUGGCGGGCAUCAGCAGGGGCCUCGCUAGCGGCAACGUGACUAAUUAGGAGGAUAGCGUUGUGGGCGGCUUCUUCUGGGUGGAGGCAGCCGGGCGCUGCCACGCUGGGCAAGAUGCUAUGUGCGAAGAAGAGCCCUUUUAUAGGCCAGUACGGCGGUGAAUGGGUGGCUGGGUUAUGCACCGCACUGGAGCAGAGUUUUCGGGAGCGUCUAGAACACACGGCUGGACAACAGCGGCAGUAACAAAAAGGUACAUAUCGAUUGGGCCAGAAGCGGUCACGACAGAAAUACAGAGAAGCAUCGAUGUGUCUGGAAAGGGACAUAUCGAUUGGGCCAGAAGCGGCCGCGACAGAAAUACAGAGAAGCAUCGAUGUGUCAACCAAGCGAUCGCCACACCCGUUGAAGAAAUUUGACAAAAAACUAAACACACCACUCAUUUCUACCCUGCCGUGUACCAAAAAAAUACCACGCACCAUACCCACAACUCACCAUAGGUCACUUUCAUCCAAUUGGUUUAAUCUCAAAGCAAAAACCUUGCCUGCAAUAGAGGCUUGGGUAUUUAAACUAGUGAUCGCUAACAUAGUAGAAGGGCGUGCUCAUAGUCCAUCAACCAUCGCGGUGGGUUGAUCUCGAACCUAGGCUGCGGUUAGAGCAUAAAAAUUGUAUGCGAUAUUGAGUCCAUCACACAAAGUUAGAACAUACAAACUAUGUGCAAUAGGAAGGGUCCAUCACACACGGUUAUAAUUAAAAAUCGUGUGCUCGGAUGGGUUGGCGAUUGGGGUGCCAAUACACACGCUUUCAAAACGGUGUGCGAUGAAUGGGCUCGACUAGGUCUAACAUAAGUGCUACAUUAUACAAUUAUUCAUUUUUUACAAGCAAACAUAGCACCAGACAUAAUUCACAAUUGGACAACCCAUCGCACACUCUACGAUAUUUUGUUCUGCCAUUUCUCUACUAAUGGACAAAAGGCACUCGGCUUACAUCGGUAUGCCAACAUGAUGUACCUUGAGUGCGUUACGCUGAGUGUCAAACCCGCCGAGGCAAAAUCAGCCUUUGCUAGGGGGUCUGCACACCCAAUGGCGGAGCUAUGUUGGNNNNNNNNNNNNNNNNNNNNNNNNNNNNNNNNNNNNNNNNNNNNNNNNNNNNNNNNNNNNNNNNNNNNNNNNNNNNNNNNNNNNNNNNNNNNNNNNNNNNNNNNNNNNNNNNNNNNNNNNNNNNNNNNNNNNNNNNNNNNNNNNNNNNNNNNNNNNNNNNNNNNNNNNNNNNNNNNNNNNNNNNNNNNNNNNNNNNNNNNNNNNNNNNNNNNNNNNNNNNNNNNNNNNNNNNNNNNNNNNNNNNNNNNNNNNNNNNNNNNNNNNNNNNNNNNNNNNNNNNNNNNNNNNNNNNNNNNNNNNNNNNNNNNNNNNNNNNNNNNNNNNNNNNNNNNNNNNNNNNNNNNNNNNNNNNNNNNNNNNNNNNNNNNNNNNNNNNNNNNNNNNNNNNNNNNNNNNNNNNNNNNNNNNNNNNNNNNNNNNNNNNNNNNNNNNNNNNNNNNNNNNNNNNNNNNNNNNNNNNNNNNNNNNNNNNNNNNNNNNNNNNNNNNNNNNNNNNNNNNNNNNNNNNNNNNNNNNNNNNNNNNNNNNNNNNNNNNNNNNNNNNNNNNNNNNNNNNNNNNNNNNNNNNNNNNNNNNNNNNNNNNNNNNNNNNNNNNNNNNNNNNNNNNNNNNNNNNNNNNNNNNNNNNNNNGUCAAAAGAAUUGACAGUUAGGUCACUUUGGGCCAAAAAAAAAAGUAUCCAAAAGAUGCCCUAUAUACCUAUAUGUUGCAAAAGAAAAUUACCCAAAAUUUUGUCACACACAUCUAGUAGCUGCGUUGAAACCAAAAACAAUGCAGCAGGAACCCAACCACUAGCGAUGAGACUACCCCACCGCCGACAGUCGCCACCCCACACCUACUCUGACCGACUGUGCAGCGCAUGCCACCGCCGCGACUCAAUCGGCCGUUCUCAGCCCCGCUACCACCCUGCCGCUUGGGAUGUCCGCUACCAAAUCUUGGGCCGGCGCAUCCGAUUCCACCGACUCUGGCCAUAGAAAGUUGGUGUAGCUACCGGGACAUCCCCCUUCAGUAUUUUGGCUAAUUUUGAACUUUUUGUCCGGAUCACAAGAAAAUGUUAGUGUCGUCCAUGUUGCUGAAGGGGAAUUACUACUUGGGGAUUUUCUCACUGAAUAUUGGAAUAUACUUACUUUAUGCAUGCCAUCAAAUAUAGCUCAUCCCCUGAAAGAACAAAGAUUGCUGAUGUUUUUUUCCACGGUUUUCUAAAACAAUGUUGAUCUUUUUCAGAGAAAUGCAAUGAUUAUUUUUAGAGAACAUUCUGCAAAUCAACUAAAUAAGAGUCUAGGCAUUCUUCUUGUUUUUUUCGGGGGGAAGGUGUCUAGGCAUUUAUUAACAUGUAGAACUUACAAUGCAUGGGGAAUGAAAGAUCAAAUAUACCUUGCUCUCCUUUCUUAUUUUAGUGGCUGUUAAUGUCAUCAUAAAGAAUAUUACACAUUAGGAUUGAGUUGUUUUGCUCUUCUAUUUUCCAGUAAGCCCUGCGAUAUUUUACAACCCAUCGGACACCCUUGUGGAUCUGAUGCUAUGUAGAUCAAGAUUAUUUCUAAUUACCUGCGAGACACCGACAAAGUAUAUCAUGUGGAAUUUCUUGUUCCUGUGGUUGGGAGGCUAGGCAAAAAAAAUAUAUGAUCAUCACAAUAAUAUUAGGUCUUGGAACCAUGACUUAUUACAUAAUCAGUUUAUUCACUCUACAUAAAGCAGCGGACUCACAAAGACACAUGCAUAUUGGAUACUACAUUAUAUGGAAGGCGUGCAUGCAUCCGUAACCGAUCACACCCUUAGCUGCACCUGGGGCUCUGCACGAAGUUGCUAACCGGAAAUGACUGGUCGAACGUGGCUGCAUGCUCACUACCAGUAAACCUCAGCUUGUCACCGACGCGUUGAACCGUGUGGAAUGCGAGAAAAUCCCACUCAAAUUGGAUCCUCACGCCACCCAGUUGAGUUAUGGAUCCGGGCCGGAUAACACCACUGACUAUGCUGUCAAACCGAAUCUUGUGUGAUCCACCGGCAACCGUAACAUUGAAGUCGCAGGAGGCGGGGAGUGUCACCUCAACGGCGCCCCCAUGGUUCACGUACGACUUCACACCCUGAGGCAGGAGAGCCCGCGGGAAGUUGUUUUUCUCCAAAAGGUCGUACGCUGUGUCGGAGGUGGCUGCUUGGAGGACAGAAGCCAGGAAGACGAUGAGGAGCAGAUGCCGGAUGGCCAUGUCUAGCUAACUGUUGCUGCUUACAAAUUGUAUCAAGGAAUAUGAGGAACUAGGAAGUAUGUGUAGACUGAGGCCCUGGCCACGUAUUAUAUAUGCUGCCCAACGAAAUCAAAGUCAAUCGUACUUUAAUUGCAUUUAUUUUGUUCCUGAUUAUCACUCCAUCAACCACCACAUCAAAUAUGCUAAAAAUAUCAUCCCAUUAAAUCAUAUUUAUUUCUGGCCUAGAACAUUCUAUAGUUAAUGGUUAUGCCAAAACGUUCCUCAAAUAUUCAUAAUCAAUACGUACCAUAAAAUGAGACUGAAAUUUCAGAGCAACAUUCAUUUACGUACUUCACAGCCGACAUAUGAAACAUAUGCAAAAACCUAAAAAUGAAUCAAGGGGAAACAUCAACAUCCAAACAGUUUGAUCCUUGAUGUUGGCUUGGGUACCAAUGAGGCUUCUCUUCUCUUCAAAUAAUGUUGUGCAGUGCAACUAAAACAUAAAACACCCGCAAGAAAGAAAUAUUUCAUUUAGAUAUACUUGAGUUUUACAUGAGUAUGCGGUGCAAUAGAAUGAUUAUCUCCCAUUGUGCAGAUCAUCUCUUUCAGGAUGCCUACUCAGGCCAGCACAGACUCAUACAUAACAUCUCCGUGAAAGUUUCCACAAUGUUAUAGCAUGAACUCCCAGACCGUGAGAGAGGCUCAGUACCCAUAUCCAAAAUGAAGAGUGCGGAGGAGCAGGUGCCUACCCCUCCACCUUCCACUUCUCUUAAAAUUUUCCUGUGCAAUGCAACUCAACUAAAAAACAACUCCAAGCAAUAUAUUCAAUUUAUAUCUUGUUGGGUUAUGAUACGUCUCCAACGUAUUUAUAUAUUUUUUAUUGUUCCAUGCUAUUAUAAUUGUUGGGUCAUGAGCCGAAAGCAAGCCAUCGAACAUGCCAAUGUUGGAUUGGAUGAGAUUGUCGACCGCCUGAAGGAGGUUCUCAUCGUGAUCCUUGAAGAGCCGGUCCAGACCUACGGUGAAAUACGCUCGUUGAAGCGCGUACACGCCACACCUUUCCUUGGACGGCUUGUCCAUCGCCUCCGCUCACGGCCGAUCACGCCACCGCAUCCCGUGAUGGUGUCGCGGCAACUCCAGGACCACUUAAUCUUAUACCAAUUGUGAGCAACUCACCUGAUCGAGAGGAAUUGCUAGGGAUUAGAAUUCGAAAUUGCGGAAAUUGGUUUCUUAGCUAGACGUCCGUCCACCCUCACAGCUACACUACACCGCAUGUUGUCAUCAUCCAAAUCCCAGCCAGGAGAUAGGAGAGAAGUAUAAUGCCUACUAGCUUAGCCCGCGCGGCGACACGCCGCGCCCAUCGAUCAGUCGCGACUAUGUAGACUAUGGUCCAAGCAAUAGAGUAAUAAGUAGUUAUGAUGAAAUUUGUUGCAUAACUUGAGGCUUUUUAGCAAAUUCUUUUGUUCACAACAAUUUAUAGACACAAAUAUCUAUCUUUCGUGGAAACUUUUAGUUUAUUUUGUACAUAGCAAGGGUCUGUCCACCAAGUUGAAACAAAUACACAACAUGACCAAAAGUAAGGAACUUCAGAACAGUGCUUUCGUAGCUAAAAUUUAAUAAUUUUUCACAUUUCAUAACAUAAAUACUUAACUAAAACUUACAUCUGAUCUGAAGUACAACCAUUGAGACAGUAAAAAAACCACUAUUUUGAUCAUCAGAAAAAAAUUAAUGUGCAUUUCAUGGAAAAAGUUUAGAGACAAAAUAAUUUAGCCAAGAGAAAAACUAUUUCAGAUCACAAAAGGCGCUCCAAAGAGUAAUUGUGUAUAUUAUUCAAAAGAACACUUUGUUACCUUCAGGCUUUAAUUAGCCCCAUUGUAUCUUGUGGAAUCAUGCAGUGAUACAAAUUCUUACCAUAAACAAAAAAAUUAAGCAGCUCUUAAUAUAGAAACAACCAUAUCACUCUGAAUCAAGGGAGCAUGAUGCGAUGAACUGAUGACGGGGAAUCUAUGGUAGCAUAUACCCAGGAAACAGUGUUCAUGGAAACUUUGUUAAACAACCCCUUGCUCAGCUUAAAAGUAUUCCUUCCUGGGUCUCCACUGAAACAAAGCAAUAUUUAUACACCCACAGGUGAGAACAAUAUGAGAUUGUUCGAUAUAAAACCAACAAUGCUUGAACAUACUUGUUUCUCUACCUCACCAUGUGGCAACCAGAAAAAGCUUUAACAAUUUAAAAACCACUUGCAAAUUGAAGUUGAGAGCCUUCACUUAUUUCUCGAAAUGGAAGGAGGAAGGGGCCUUAAUUUGUCCCAGUAACCCCAUGAAUAUAAUUAGCCAAAUAUGUGGCAUUUCAUCUUAUUACAUGGUCAUGCUGAAGGAGGGAACAUCAAUAAAAUUAGGCAUAAGAAAUCCAUCAAAUGAAGAGAGAUGUACUUAGAAAUAAGAAUAACAAACAUUCUCAGAUACUAUGUACCUUAUCCUGCCUCUAAGAAUAUGUCAAGAAGGUGAAUCAUUCACUUUUAUGUUACCGUUGCUGACAACGGACAACUGUGGAUGGAAACAAAAUUCUCAGCAAUGCAUAUAUGAAACUAAGUAACAUGACUUAGAAAAUAUAAUGUAAAAUAUCACAAUAAACUACUACUAAGUAUGUUCAAUAGUAAUACAACCUCAGUUUGUACCCCAGAAAUUUCUAUCACCAAAACAUCUUAGAAGGUUCAGUGCUAGUGAUGUGCCUGCCAUAAGACCGAAUGCCAAUUUCUAGUUAAAAAAUAACCGCGCAAGACCAUAUUCCUCUACCGCAAAGGGUAUAUGAUCAAGUGGGGCCAACUAAAGACAGGCCCCACGAUUCCAUUUUUUAAUGUAUGUUGUUGUAUAAUGAAUGACGCGCUUGUAUGCUUACGUGACUAUUUGGUUUUUGAUGUGAUGGAAAUUGGAGGGAAAGAUGCUGGACGGACUAAUUUGAUCAAUCGGGUGAGUAGAAGUAUUAGAGUUUUGGCCAUCUCAUCCAUUAAAUUUGGAUGGAGGGUAUGCAUCUUAAUAUGAUAAACAUAUAUGCAUACCGUAUAUGGGUUAUAUACAUAUAAAAAUCAGUGCAGCAGGCAUUUUUUCUGAAUCUAAACAUCUUGGUGGCCGAGUUCCAGUGUGAAAAUAUUGGUUUUAGUCCCUGGUCAAAUGGACUGAUGCAUAUUAUGUUUGGUUGUACCACGAAAAAUAAUUUGGUUGCUUUAAGACAUUCAACCGAGGUAGACGAUGCAAUUUUGGCUGACAUGAAGUUUUACGAUCAUCAAUAUAGCAGAAUAUGCAAAAGAUGGGAUAAAGCAAGUCAUAUCUACUCCCUCAGUCCCAUAAUAUAAGAGCGUUUUUGACACGAUGGAGGGAGUAGUUUGUUUAUUUGUUUGAGGAACACUUAUUUGCUUGGAGAAUAAUGAAGUGUGCUUGCACCGGUGCACAUGAGAUGAACUUGAACAAACGAUCUGCAUUCAUAUAUGCAUUGUACCAGAAAUCAGUGCUGCUCUAACUUGCCUCUGCAUUGCCUCUGAACCAGUGCUGAUCUAUAUCGGAGAUCAGGAAUUUACUCAUCAGGUCACUGCAUCUACUUUAUUGCGAUUAAACCACCAAACUCAAAGAAAUACCUGCAAUUUAUUUAAUAGUCUUAUUUGAUUUUUUAUUCAGAAUGCGUUGAGCUAUUUCUUUUGCCGAGCUACAUUCUUGUACAUUGGAUUCUCAAGGAGCAUCACUUGCGAGACAUAUCUUCACAUACUACCAUUUCAGAACACCACUCCCUUCACGCACAGGACAUACAUGUUCUACAUCCACCCCUCACACUCCUAAUUUCAAAACCGAGUUGGCAGGUUAUUGUAAGGCAGGUAAGCAACCUUCUAGAUGGAAUGUUGGAAUUUACUCUGGCAAGGUAGGUCUUAAACAUAUUAUCAUCUGGCUAUCUACUGUUUGAGCUCCCCAUGCUGCUAACACCAUCAAAUAUUGUUUGCUCCGGACAUCUUCAUAUGCCAAUUUGACCUUCUUUUUGGCAGACACAGUAUCUCAGAACAUCUAAAUUGACUCCUUGCACAGGUCUCUGAAUUGACACAAUCAGAAGGAUAAAACAAUCGCUAGAGCUCUUAUAGGAAGUCAGCCAUCAUUUUACUUAGACUAAAGAAGGUGUCUAUCACAAAAAAGGAAAAAAAAGUAAGUGCGAAGAAACACAUGUAGGGUUGCACAUAAUUUGUAAGAGAUGAUCAAGGCAUAUAGUUGCAGCAAGUAGCAAAUGGCAUGAAUUUAUUCAUGAUGCACUCACGCAUCAAGGGUGUAAAUCUUCUUUAGCUAGGUCCAAAUGCAGAUAGAUACAGUACAUGAAUGAUGUGUGAUAUGUCAUUGUAGGUUUCAGACCUGAUGAAAAGUUUAUUACAGUACACGAAAAAUAUUCAUGAAACGGUUAUACAGUACAGGAAUGAUGAGAAAUCGGAAAUUUCUGUACAGGAAUGAUGUAUAAUAAAUUGCUGAGAGGAAUAAAGAAGAUGCAGAAUGUCUGAAACUUCUCAAAACUGGAAACAAUUAUACAAAAGCUACCUGACAGAGUAUACGGCUAGGAAUCUGCCUAAUUCAGUGUCUCUUAUAAUCCACCAACGACUACGGCGUAAUCACCAUCAUUGCGGCUCAACCAGAAUUCGAUCGAAUAAUGAGGCAAAUAAAGCAGCUAAUAUGGGGUAAAUGCACACUAACUUGGCAGCAAGAACAGAUGGGUCAUAAGCGCCUUCAGUGACCCUACGACCUGCAAAUGGCAGUAUACAGACAGUGCGCCUUUACUCUGAAUAACCGAGAAGGAGCUAUCUUUAUCCUCUUUUUUUGCGGGGGAGCUGUCUUUAUCCUCCACUCAAGCUAGAUAUACUUACAAAGUUAGAGUUGUAUAAAGUUUUGAAGCGUAGCGCUGUGAAUGGAUCACUCGUCCAGCAGCCUCCUGACACAUAAAAUAGGCAGAGCGAGCAUUACAAGGUCCCAUAACUCGGGGUCAGGCUAGUCGAACACGAUGACGCGCACCACCGUGCGCCACGCCGACGCCAGGUAGUAGAGCGCGGGCCUCUCGCACUGGUUGUGCGCUAGGGGCUUCAUGUUGAACGCGCGCGCCUUGUAGUCAGCGGGCCAGUACCAGUUCAAGAACGUCCACGCCGGCAUCUGCAUCUCCCGCGCCAGCACAACGCCCUCGGCACCGUCACCACGAACCCCCACGCCACUGACACCGUCCACCGGUUCGCCGCGAUGUAGCAUAUCAACUGGUGCAUCACCCCCGUCGAACAGCCUCCGCAGAGACGCCGGGCGCGAACGCAUGUUGGGGAUAAGCGGUCGAGGUGGUGCAGCGAGUCAGCGACACCAGCGGUGCCACCUGGUGGGCGGCGAGGAGGCCCAGGAGGUCACCAUACACGCCUUACUCGUGGAAGCCCGAGUGUCGGCACACCCACAUCCGCCAUGCCCCAUGCACGAUGUAGUAGGGGACGGCGAGGAGGUUGUCCGGGAGGAAGACCGUGUUGUCGACUUGUCGUCACCCAUGACGAACCAGCUACACCUGGGAGACUGAGGCGGAAGGUCUCGGAGAUGACAGUCGACGUGUGAGAUGCAUGCGGAUGGCAGAGCGAUGACCGUGCGUGUAGGAGAAACCGGAGGUAUCCGGUAAGAUCUUGAUGUAUAUGCACUCCUUCCGCUUCUCCAACAGGCGCGCCAACGCCGUGAAGCCGAACACUGUAGCGUAAUCGUCGUUGUCGACACCGUGGCUGUGGCAGGUUGCGGUGGUGGUGGCGUACUCGUCGUCAACACCACCGUAUCUGUGGAGGGUGGUGGUGGCAUCCUCGCCGUCGACACCACCGUGACCGUGGCGGGCAUCAGCAGGGGCCUCGCCAGCGGCAACGUGACUAAUCAGGAGGAUAGCGUUGUGGGCGGCUUCUUCUGGGUGGAGGCAGCCGGGCGCUGCCACGCUGGGCAAGAUGCUAUGUGCGAAGAAGAGCCCUUUUAUAGGCCAGUACGGCGGUGAAUGGGUGGCUGGGUUAUGCACCGCACUGGAGCAGAGUUUUCGGGAGCGUCUAGAACACACGGCUGGACAACAGCGGCAGUAACAAAAAGGUACAUAUCGAUUGGGCCAGAAGCGGUCACGACAGAAAUACAGAGAAGCAUCGAUGUGUCUGGAAAGGGACAUAUCGAUUGGGCCAGAAGCGGCCGCGACAGAAAUACAGAGAAGCAUCGAUGUGUCAACCAACCGAUCGCCACACCCGUUGAAGAAAUUUGAAUCAAAAAACUGAACACACCACUCAUUUCUACCCUGCCGUGUACCAAAAAAAUACCACGCGCCAUACCCACAACUCACCAUAGGUCACUUUCAUCCAAUUGGUUUAAUCUCAAAGCGAAAACCUUGCCUGCAAUAGAGGCUUGGGUAUUUAAACUAGUGAUCGCUAACAUAGUAGAAGGGCGUGCUCAUAGUCCAUCAACCAUCGCGGUGGGUUGAUCUCGAACCUAGGCUGCGGUUAGAGCAUAAAAAUUGUAUGCGAUAUUGAGUCCAUCACACAAAGUUAGAACAUACAAACUAUGUGCAAUAGGAAGGGUCCAUCACACACGGUUAUAAUUAAAAAUCGUGUGCUCGGAUGGGUUGGCGAUUGGGGUGCCAAUACACACGCUUUCAAAAAGGUGUGCGAUGAAUGGGCUCGACUAGGUCUAACAUAAGUGCUACAUUAUACAAUUAUUAAUUUUUUACAAGCAAACAUAGCACCAGACAUAAUUCACAAUUGGACAACCCAUCGCACACUCUACGAUAUUUUGUUCUGCCAUUUCUCUACUAAUGGACAAAAGGCACUCGGCUUACAUCGGUAUGCCAACAUGAUGUACCUUGAGUGCGUUACGCUGAGUGUCAAANNNNNNNNNNGCGAUAUUGAGUCCAUCACACAAAGUUAGAACAUACAAACUAUGUGCAAUAGGAAGGGUCCAUCACACACGGUUAUAAUUAAAAAUCGUGUGCUCGGAUGGGUUGGCGAUUGGGGUGCCAAUACACACGCUUUCAAAACGGUGUGCGAUGAAUGGGCUCGACUAGGUCUAACAUAAGUGCUACAUUAUACAAUUAUUCAUUUUUUACAAGCAAACAUAGCACCAGACAUAAUUCACAAUUGGACAACCCAUCGCACACUCUACGAUAUUUUGUUCUGCCAUUUCUCUACUAAUGGACAAAAGGCACUCGGCUUACAUCGGUAUGCCAACAUGAUGUACCUUGAGUGCGUUACGCUGAGUGUCAAACCCGCCGAGGCAAAAUCAGCCUUUGCUAGGGGGUCUGCACACCCAAUGGCGGAGCUAUGUUGGNNNNNNNNNNNNNNNNNNNNNNNNNNNNNNNNNNNNNNNNNNNNNNNNNNNNNNNNNNNNNNNNNNNNNNNNNNNNNNNNNNNNNNNNNNNNNNNNNNNNNNNNNNNNNNNNNNNNNNNNNNNNNNNNNNNNNNNNNNNNNNNNNNNNNNNNNNNNNNNNNNNNNNNNNNNNNNNNNNNNNNNNNNNNNNNNNNNNNNNNNNNNNNNNNNNNNNNNNNNNNNNNNNNNNNNNNNNNNNNNNNNNNNNUCUUGUAGUGGAGAAUUUUCAACGUAUGAUGUAAAAUAGCCGUUGUGUCAAAAGAAUUGACAGUUAGGUCACUUUGGGCCAAAAAAAAGUAUCCAAAAGAUGCCCUAUAUACCUAUAUGUUGCAAAAGAAAAUUACCCAAAAUUUUGUCACACACAUCUAGUAGCUGCAUUGAAACCAAAAACAAUGCAGCAGGAACCCAACCACUAGCGAUGAGACUACCCCACCGCCGACAGUCGCCACCCCACACCUACUUUGACCGACUGUGCAGCGCAUGCUGCCGCCGUGACUCAAUCGGCCGUUCUCAGCCCCGCUACCACCCUGCCGCUUGGGAUGUCCGCUACCAAAUCUUGGGCCGGCGCAUCCGAUUCCACCGACUCUGGCCAUAGAAAGUUGGUGUAGCUACCGGGACAUCCCCCUUCAGUAUUUUGGCUAAUUUUGAACUUUUUGUCCGGAUCACAAGAAAAUGUUAGUAUCGUCCAUGUUGCUGAAGGGGAAUUACUACUUGGGGAUUUGCUCACUGAAUAUUGGAAUAUACUUACUUUAUGCAUGCCAUCAAAUAUAGCUCAUCCCCUGAAAGAACAAAGAUUGCUGAUGUUUUUUUCCAUGGUUUUCUAAAACAAUGUUGAUCUUUUUCAGAGAAAUGCAAUGAUUAUUUUUAGAGAACAUUCUGCAAAUCAACUAAAUAAGAGUCUAGGCAUUCUUCUUGUUUUUUUCGGGGGGAAGGUGUCUAGGCAUUUAUUAACAUGUAGAACUUACAAUGCAUGGGGAAUGAAAGAUCAAAUAUACCUUGCUCUCCUUUCUUAUUUUAGUGGCUGUUAAUGUCAUCAUAAAGAAUAUUACACAUUAGGAUUGAGUUGUUUUGCUCUUCUAUUUUCCAGUAAGCCCUGCGAUAUUUUACAACCCAUCGGACACCCUUGUCGAUCUGAUGCUAUGUAGAUCAAGAUUAUUUCUAAUUACCUGCGAGACACCGACAAAGUAUAUCAUGUGGAAUUUCUUGUUCCUGUGGUUAGGAGGCUGGGCAAAAAAUAUAUAUGAUCAUCACAAUAAUAUUAGGUCUUGGAACCAUGACUUAUUACAUAAUCAGUUUAUUCACUCUACAUAAAGCAGCGGACUCACAAAGACACAUGCAUAUUGGAUACUACAUUAUAUGGAAGGCGUGCAUGCAUCCGUAACCGAUCACACCCUUAGCUGCACCUGGGGCUCUGCACGAAGUUGCUAACCGGAAAUGACUGGUCGAACGUGGCUGCAUGCUCACUACCAGUAAACCUCAGCUUGUCACCGACGCGUUGAACCGUGUGGAAUGUGAGAAAAUCCCACUCAAAUUGGAUCCUCACGCCACCCAAUUGAGUUAUGGAUCCGGGCCGGAUAACACCACUGACUAUGCUGUCAAACCGAAUCUUGUGUGAUCCACCGGCAACCGUAACAUUGAAGUCGCAGGAGGCGGGGAGUGUCACCUCAACGGCGCCCCCAUGGUUCACGUACGACUUCACACCCUGAGGCAGGAGAGCCCGCGGGAAGUUGUUUAUCUCCAAAAGGUCGUACGCUGUGUCGGAGGUGGCUGCUUGGAGGACAGAAGCCAGGAAGACGAUGAGGAGCAGAUGCUGGAUGGCCAUGGCUAGCUAACUGUUGCUGCUUACAAAUUGUAUCAAGGAAUAUGAGGAACUGGGAAG
RNAcentral lists this long non-coding RNA (64094 nucleotides) under Triticum aestivum (bread wheat). RNAcentral describes it as "long non-coding RNA (TAES_LNC003690)". Lineage: Eukaryota; Viridiplantae; Streptophyta; Magnoliopsida; Poales; Poaceae. The record is from RNAcentral.